AAUAUUGUCACGUCAUACAAAAAAAAAUCAGAACAAAUUUAUCUUAAAAAGGAUUGAAAAAUUAGUAUUUAUAAAAAUAUAAACAAUCACUCACUUGGGUAAUGUACUAAUUGAUAAACAAAAUAAUAUUAUCCCACAUCUCAUCAUCAUUAUUCAUUUAUUCAGAUCAGUAUAUAGUUGACAGCAGAAUCAGCCCUAUAUGCUGCCCUAUGUAUGUAUACGUAUGUAUGCAUGUAUGUAUAGUAUUGUAAUGAAGAGGUUUUAGCACUGAGGAUAUGCAACUCCACAAGCGUUCCCAACAGUUCUAAUAAUGGGGUUAUCAGCAAAUUGUCUUAAAGAUGGGUCGUUAAGGUACCCACAAAAGCAUGGCGUCUGCUCCCUCAGCCUGCUGCAACAGGUUUCAGAUGGAGGCGUGGACGACAUGACCGCCGCCAAGCAUGGGCUGAGCUCUAUGGGGUUACAUGUCACUGCCGCCUCUGCCCACCGUGUUUCACCCGAAAACGCUGGGGCCGCCACCACCAUGAGUGACAGUACCGCACUUAAGGCAACAUAUGAAAACCUCUUCAUCUUUGUUAUCAUAGUGGAGGGUGGUACCAUUUAUAGGAUUUGGAUUGGUAAUUUGCUGUGAGACAUUAGAGCAUGCAUUAUUUAUAUACGAGUGUGGGAUUAUGAUGGGGGCGUUUCCCCACACGAUUUGAGACCCCAACUAAAAUCUUAUUUGGUUAAUUUUGGGUUAAGUUGUUGGCACCUCUCUUUGUGUGAACAAAUUAACCAAAGCCAAUAACUCUAUAUUAUGAUGUUAUUGAUUGAUUUUACUCUCAUUUCUCAACAGCAUCAAAUGUAAGUAAUAUAGAAGCAUUCAUUCCAUUGGGACCGUCUUAUGAAUUCCAAGUUUGUCUAAAAUUAGUAUCAAGUUGGUGAGUCAAAAAUCAAAUCAAAUUCUAAUUUAAUUGAAUUCAAUUUAAAUAAUUUAGAGACUAUUCAAAUCCAAAGUACUUAAUGCCUUAAUUGAUUUUAAAAUCGAAAUGAUUUAUUUUGAAGUGACCUAAAUUUUAAAUAUUUUAAACUCAAAAUGAUCUAAACUAAAUUAAGAUAAAAAUAAAAACUCGUGCAAAUUGACGUCUAAUUCUAAAUUCAGACACCAAAUAUUUAUUGGCAAAUAAAAUUUUAUUAACAAUCUAGUUUGAAUGCAUUAAACACGAUUUAAAUUAUCCCUUGACAUCUAAUUCUAAAUUCAGAUAUCAAAUAUUUAUUGAAAAAUAAAAUUUCAUCCAUUGUACACAAAAACUUUUUAGAUUUGGUUCCAGAAAUUUUCCAAGACGGAACCAACCUAUUCAAAUGGUGUAUUUCAUUGUUAAAAAAUAAUUAAAAACCUUUUUAUUUAAAUUUAAUUAUAACAAUAAAUAAAUAUUAAUAUAAAUAAUAGUAAAACAGAACAAACCAGCUCCACAGCUGCCGUGCACACUAAAGUCACUUUUCCCGAAAAGAAACAAUUAGCAAAUCUUUUGCUACUUUUGCAAUCUUUAACCAUUUUAAUUUUAUUCAUUUUUUUCUUAAAAUUAUUUUAAAUUAGUUAUUUUACAUUUUUAUUUGGUUAAAUUAUUUUUGACUAAUUUACUCAAAAAGCCAUUAAACUAAGUACAUGCCAUUCAAAUAAGCUGUUAUACUUUUUUUAACCAAAUAAAUCUUAUUCUUUCGUUUUUACUCAUGAAAUCCUUCCAUCAACUAAACGUAAAAAAAUUACUUUCGUAUGACCCAAAUACUCAAAUUGCAAAUAACAUUCUUGGAAUAUUAAAUUUUUCAAUAUUUAGAUUUAGUUUAAAAAAAAAUUAAUUGGUUAAAAUAAGUUUAAUCAUGCUGAAAAUUUUAAGUUAAAUCAUUUAUAACCAAUACAAUUGAUCUGCCUAAAAAUUUUAAAUAUUUUUAUAAAUAUUUUUAUAUCCAUUUUACUAUUCAUGUUUUAAAAAUUUGUGAUUAACUUUCUAAUAAUAUAUUAACCUUUACUUUUAAUUAUUUCAAUAAAUUUUUUAUUUACAAGUUUUUAAGCUAUUUAUUUAAGAGAAAAUAUUUAAUACACUACCAAUAAAAUUUGAAGUUGACAAAUGUCUAAAAAUAUAGUAAAAUAUUAAAUAAAAUAUUCUUUUAAAAAGAAACACAAGUCAAAAUUUUAAAAAUGCUUGUGAAAUAAAAAAGAAAAGUAUACUGCGCCCAUGUACUAAAUACUCGACAUUUAUUUAAUAAAAUAAACAGAUUUAUAAAUUAUAUAAUUAGUUAAUCAAUUAAAAUAAUUAAAUAAAUAUAUAAAACAAAUCUUAAAUAUUAUAAAAAAUAUAAAAGUAAGUUAUCCAAUGCACUAGAACUAGUGUAUUUUCCACUGCUACAGUAUAGAAUAUCACAACAACUAACUAAUGACCUCAUCAUCCCUGUUACUUUUAAUCUUACCCAAAUGGACCCUCCAAGAUCAAGAGUCAACUUAAAACAGGAAAUUUAAACAUUGCUGCAACACGUGCUACAUUCAUUAUUUUAAACGUUCGUGGAAAUCAAAAGAGCAUGGCCUUCCUGAGCACUUCUUUGUCCAACAAACAACAUCUAUGUCUUCAACGUUGAGUAAAUAAGGCAAUACUGGAUCUCCUUGCCUAAGCACAAUGGAUUUGGUCGGACCAAUCCUACUAUGCUACUCGCUAUUAAAAACCAUCCAAUAUGUAACGCUAUCACAUGUCAUAAUUUAAUCAAUCCUUCUAGGUAAUCUCACUCAAUCCUGUCAUAUGCCUUAUUCAUGUCUAACUUCAAUGCCAUCUGAACCAUUUUAUCAGUACACUACCGUAAGAAGAAUGACCGGGAACUCUGCAGAGUUCAUCUCUACCAACCGAAAACAAAACAAAGCAAUGACAAAUAAUGCUUUGAUCAUGGGAGUUUAGAAUGCAAUGUAUACCAAAAAAUGGGUAAGAAUGAUAAAACCAGAGAACAUAGUUUGGCUUGUAAUCAACAUGCACAACCACUUCUUUGCUCGGUCUCUGUCAUGGCCUCUGGGAUGCCCUGGAAAUAUCUGCAUUCAUACACAAAUAGGAAAAUAGGUCAAAGAAAAAAAGUUAUUUUCUGCAUAGCCUGGUCAAAUAUCUUUAAAAACUUGAAAACAUCUAUGCUAAGACGAAGUACACAGACACCAAAUAUAUUAAGGUGAAGUGGAAGAAGAAAACAGUUUUCCUGUAGUUACAAUAAAACAAAAAAUUACCCACGACAUGAUAUCAAUAUUUUAAAAAUAAAAUCUAUAUCCUACAGAAAUAAAUAGUAAAUUGGUUGUGACGAUUACACAAGAAUAUGCCAAUGAGCUAUAACAUAUGUACUAAAAAGACUUUAAAAAGAAGCAAUAAAAGUAACAACAGCAUCUAAACUGCUAAAAAAAAAAAAAACAAACACCACAGCCCAAAUUAAGCAUGGUAGAACAGCACCAUGAGAAGAAAGCUUAUGAACAUCCACACACAAUCAAAUAAUUAAGAAAAAUAUAACAGAAGAAGUAGGUUGUAGGUAAGAACUCUGAUAAUUGUUAUACGAUCUAUAUGGCUGUAAAAUUAGGUCAUAUUUAAUUGAAUGAGUACUGUGGAAAAUAAUGAAAUCAGCUAUAUGAUUAAAGACACAUUUCUUUGAAUCAAUAUCAAAAUUUUUAACCUUGGCCAAAGAAAAUACACCUCAUCAUGAUUCUCAUGAAACUAUUACCUUCAAAUUUUGUUUAUUGUUAUUUCCCCAAUCACUUACCCCCAUUAUUCUGUCCAUAAGCACCUUACCAUUUGACUACAUACUCUAGUACAUCUUUCCUAAUGAAGCAAUAUAUAUAUAUUGAUCUACUUAGAGAUAGGAUUAUAGUAACAUAUUUCCGCGGUAUUAUUGAACCAUGUCCAGAUCAGCAACUCAUUAAAGUUAGGAAAUAUGGGUCUACCUGAGGCAUGUCAUUAUGAAAUACAUAAUAUUGUCACUCCCACACAAUGAAUUUGAUAUGGCAAGGCAAAUCAAUCAGCAUCCAAACAGGAUUUCUAGGUGAUAACGUAAUUUGUACACCCUUAAUGUAGUCUGAUUCACAAUACAAUGUUGGAGAUAUCCUCUGUUUCCCUACUAUUAACUAUUUAAUGUCACAAAAGUAUAUAAAAGAUCACAGCUAUGCCGUAAAAUUGCUAGAGAUAUGAAGGUCUGAAUCUGCAGUGCUGAAGAAAACCAUACUCCUUUCUGGGCCAACAACACCAUGCUGGAAAAAUACUAAUUUAUAUGCCAAUGUUCACUGAAAAAAAAAAAAACAGAAUAUGCUUCAAGAUAAACUUACAUGUCCUGCUCGAGCUCAUUUGCUAGAGCAGAUUUGGAAAUAGAAAGGAAUGCAGCAUCAACAUUGAUAUCUUCUUUUGCUGAUGUUUCAAAGUAAGGUAUGUUUCCUUUUGAAGCACACCAAUCUUUUGCUUUCUUCUCGGAUACCUACAUGGGCUCAAGAUGCCACCCAUUAGGCUGAGGUGUGAGGAUAAAGGAAAAUUAGGUCGUAUAAAACCAUAUACCCUUACCACUCGACUAUUACCACCAUCAAUAUCUAUUUUGUUUCCAAGCAACAUAAACGGAAACGUCCUGGGAUCUGUUGGAUUGGCCUGGCAUGAAAUGAAAAUGGAAACAUUUAAAACAGAUGGUAAUCACUUCCAAAGAAAUUCAUAUAAAGUUUUAGAGGGAUGAAAACAAUUAACACAAAAGAUUAAUCAACCUCAGAAAUUAAAUUGGCUGUUAGGAAAGAUCACGUGCAUUGAAAGGAAAGUAGGUCAAGUUGAGCACUUAACUGUAGCAUCAGCAAUAAAUGUUUUAUCCAAUUUCUAGGUUUAACAUGAUGGAACAAGGCAUCAAGAAAAGAAAUUUCACAUUCCCAUAAGAAUCAGCAUUUAUUGGAGAUUCUAUUACAAAAUUACCUACAUACUUCUUCUGAUCUGUUUAUAGUAAACCUAUACUUCUACAAAACUGUUCUGACUAGUUGACACAGAAAUGUUUGAAAAACAGGAAUUGAUGACCAACAGAACAGCCGAAUGGCAACAAACAAUAUCAAUAAGGAAACCAAUAUGAACAUUUCAGUUUAUAAAACUCACUCCACUGAAAAGAGGCAAUUUUCCACCUAAAGAUUGGGUAAGCAAUUAAAAAUUCUCUGUUUCUUUCCUGUUCAAAAAGUGUAAAAGUUAAUAAUCCUGAAAUGAACCAAAAGAAGGCGAACUGAAAAGGCAAAGAUAAAAUCAGUUAUGACAACAUGAGUGAGGUCAAAAUUAUAGAAAAAAGAAAGUGAAAAAAAAGAAUCAGUGAGUCCACAACCACAAUCUGAAAAACUAGGUUGAAUAGCGUAUUUGAAUUUGUGCAACCAAUAAUAAUUCCAGUGUCAGUAUAAGCAAGAAUUUGGAAGCAUACACCCCUAACAAGAAAAAUCUCAUGUUUCUUUUAAAUUUACUUCAUGUCAUGUGCGCUUUGAAUAAGUACCACCCUUUACCCUAAGAAAACAAAUUUUCAAAACAAAUUUCCUUCUUUGUAACAGAUUGGCAAGAAUGUCUAUGGCAAAAUCUAUUAGAGCGGUUUCAACCUUUGAGUGUAUCCACAAGCCAUUGCUUCAACAAGAGCUUAACGAUGUAAAGAAAAUUUUAAGGUGAAAAUAAGAAUAAACAUCUCAGGUUCCACAUUUUUCUGAACUCUCUAGAUAUUUAUGGCUAAACUGAAGCAGCUAUCUCAAACUCCAGCAAUCCACUAGUCUAGAGUAAAUCACUUAAGUAGGCUACAUAGAUAAUGAUAUUGGAGAAAUUAAGGCCAUAAAGAAAACGAACAAAUUCAAACUCAAAAUCAACUACAAAACCAUUAGAGUUUCAAAUAAAAAAAAAUCUAGUAGAAAAGGAUGGUUGUCAGCAUUGAUGUGAACGAAGAACAUGCAUGCCAAAGAGACAAAGAGAAAGAGAGAAGCCUUACAAGAAAAUCAAAAUUAUAAAUAAAUAGUUACUUGAUAGCUUAUAAAUAACUUGCAGUGUUGCAGGAUGAAUUCCAUAUUUAGUGAGGUUGGCAAAGUUAACUUGGAAUUGUAUGCAUUACUUGCCUACAUUCCUUUGACCAAAAAAAUAUCUCUACGCUAGAUUUAUCAUGGAAGGGGUAAUAAAAGCUGUACGAGCCAAUAAAUCUAAAACACUGCACAUUCUUAUUGACAUUAUCAUAAUCGUGAUAAUGUUAUAGAGGCAUAAAACAACUUAAAUUAAAAGCGCCAUUCAUCAAGACACGCCAAAACAUAAUUCACUAAAGAACUGAAACGAUCAAGGAAAGUAAAAUGAACAAAUAGAGAAAGGGGCAAAGAAAAACCUGCUUAAGAAACUCAUCAUGCCAAUUAUCAAGGCUAUCAAAUGAUUUCAUCACAUUAACAUCAUAAACUAGCACACAACAAUCUGCACCCCUAUAGAAGGCAACUCCGAGACUCUGAAACCGCUCCUGCCCUGCAGUAUCCCAUAUCUAUCCAAUGCAAUGCCACAAAAGAAAGGAAAAAUAAAAUAAAAUACAUAAACAUACUAUCCAUGGAAACUUCAAAAUUAAGUUAAGAAGAGUAUAGAAAUACUCAAAGAUUAAAACCCUACUUGCAGAGUGACACGGCGAUCUUCAAUCUGGAGUUCCUUAGUGACAAAAUCAGCACCUAUUGUUGCUUUAUAUUGCUGACUGAACUUCUUAUGAACAUAUCUAAAUUCAAGAAGUUAAUUCUGACAACGACGUAACUUAUAAAAUCAACAUUUAAAUAAAUAAACAAAAAAACUAACGACCUUAACACAAAGUUUAAGAUCUAAAAUUAUCCCUAAAAAAAGAACAGAAAAUUUACAAAAAAAAAAGGACUAUGCGAAGAUUAAAAUUCAAUUACUGUUGAAAGGAUACUGAUUCAUCAAUGACGUCUUACCCACCCUGAAAUUGAUAAUAACCCAUUAAUCAAACAAAUUUUAAGAAAUCCAAAAAUUCAUCGUUUUAGUUGUAAAAAGAAAAAGCCAUAGAAAUUGAAAUUGAGAACGACAUACCCGCUAUCGCCGAGAACAAUGACCUUGAGCAAGGUUCGUCUUCGCAUUGCCAUGGCGGUAAAAUUAACGGCAACUAUUUGGUUUUGAUUUAUUAGAUUUGAUUUACCUUUUUUUUAUAAAAAAAAAAAACUUAAUUAUCACGCCUUUGAAUUCUUUUGGGAUGCUUUAAAUUUAUUGGUACAGCUCUAUGGAUUUACCUAAUAUAUUUGUAAAAGCUAUUGAAAAGAAAUUUCCUUUUUUUUUUCCUUCUUUACUUUGCUCCCUUUUCUGCACUAGAAAUUUUUUUUUCCUUUUGGCUGAAAAGAAGCGCCAAAUUUCCAUUUCUUUUUCCAUAUUACUAGGUGAAAUUAUGGUUUUUUUUUCUGCAUAUUGUAUUUAAUUUAGUUUUUAUAUUUAAUUUAAAAUAAUUUAUUCUUUUAUGAAAUUAAAAAAAAUGUUUAUUUUUUAAUAUUUAAGGAAUAUUAUUUUGAACAUAUUUUUGUUUGUUUAUAUUUUUAUACUAAGUUUAAAAAAUUUAUAAUGAUUUAUUUGACUCAAAAUGCUAAAAAAAUCCUUAAGCAUUCUUUUAUUCAAUUUUAUGAAAAAAAUUAUUUUAAUCAUUUAUUUAAUUUUUUUAUCUAUUAAACUUGUAUUGUUUAUCAAAUUAUCUAAAAUAGAUAAUAAAAAAAUCUAAUAUUUGUUGAUUUUACUGAUGUAGCAUUCAUGUGGCAAUCUACUUGUAUGCUAUGUUAGUAAUUAAUUAAUGUUUUAAAAUUAAAAAUAUCAAAAAUGUAUUUUUUAUAUAUAUUUUUUAAAUAUUUUUUAUAUAUUUAAAAUUAAUUAAUUUUAAAAAAUUAAUUAAUUAUUGAUUUGACAUUUACUUGACAAUCCAUGUAUAAAAUUAACAAAUGUGAACAUUUUUUUAUUUAUUUUUAAAGAAUUUGACAAACAGUAUAAGUUUGAACACUAAAACAGAUACAAAAUUAAAUUGAAAACUAUUUUUUUUUAAAAAGUUGGAAACACCAAAUAAGUAAUUAUAUCUUUAAAAAAUACAUGCACAAAAUAAAAAUAAAGUCUAAAACAUCAUUAUAUUCAUUAUCUCAAAUUUACCAUUUUAAUUAAAAAUUUUCAAAUUUUUUAUAAAUUUAUUAUAUCAUUUUUUUCACCCAUGUAAUAUAAUCUAAUUAUUUAUAGAAAAUUUUGAUUUAAAUCACUGAAAUUAUUAAAAAAGUUUUGUUAAUCGGCGACUGUGGAAUUCCUUUUAUAAUCUUUAAAAUAAUUUAAUAACGAUAACUAUUUUAAUAACCAUAAUUUCAAUUUUCAAAACACAUAAUAACUAUUAUAAUUGUACUUCUUGUAAUAUAUGUUUGUAAACUUUAAAUAGAAUUAUGCCACUAAAGCCUUAAUAUGGUUCGGGUAAGCUCAUGAGAAAAUUAGUGAUUUUGUAUGGUUUAAUUUAAUAAAUUAUUGAAGAUUAUAAAAAUAAAAGAUGUUUAAAAAUUUAAUUUAAUUAAUUUAAUAUCAAUUUUUGAAUUAAUACCUUACAAUUUUUUAAUUUUUUAAUCUGAUCGAUUGAUCUAAUCUAAUUUAAACAAUCAUAUGUCUAGAGACGAAUUUUAGGAUGGGGAGACAAAGAUUUUGGCCUCUCAAAAAAUAAAAUAAAAAUCAAUUUAGUCUUAUUAUAAAUAGAAAAUUUAUAAAUUAAUUUUAGUGAAAUUAUAUUUUGGUCUUCUUAAAUUGAAAAUUUUUCAAUUCAAUCUUCUUAUAAAUAGAAAAAUUAUAAAUUAAUAUAUAAAAAAAUACAUUUUAACCCUCCUAAAAAUAAAAAAAUUUCUAUUUAAUACCUUAAAAGAUGAUGAAUACAUGAUAAAUUUAUAAUUUUUUAAUGAAAAAUUAUAAUUAAAAUCUUGUCACUCCUUGAAGAAAUUCUAAAUUCAGCCGGGAGCAUGCAGCUCAAACAAAUCAUACCGCCUUGCAGAUGCUGUAUCUCCAGCCUAAUAAAACAAAUUUGUGAUCAGUGGGAUUGGAUAGACAAUGAACCUGUUCUGUACAAAUUCUUAAUCACCCAUACAUAAUGCUUCCAUGGCAUCAUAUGCACUACCCUUAAAACAAUCACAUUAUAAACAAUCUACCCUCCAAUCAAAACAUACCACCAACUAGUUGCUUAUUAAGCUUGGUUAAACAAGGAAAAAUAAUAUUUCAGAAGAAAAAAAAAGCAUUUGAGGGUUCGGCUCAUGGAAAUAUAUCUUUCAUAAAUUAAAAAUAAUAAAAAGAAUUAUUAUAUUUUUUAUUUCACAAAUAAUUUUAAAAAAAAUUAUUUUUUUAUAUUUUAUUAUACAACCAAAUAAUUUUCUAUAAAUGGGAAAUAAAAAAAUACACCUAGUAUCAAAGACUAAUAUCUAUUUAUAUUACUCUAAUUUAAUUUUAUAUUUUCCUUUUUAAAAGAUAAUUUACAACAUUCUAGUAUUUAAAUAUCACUAUUUAUUGGCGAAAAAACUCGAAUACGAAGUCGGAUAACAAUAUCGGUGUUGCGGUACACUGACUACAAAUAGUAUCCUUCUGAUCAUCUCUCUCUUCCUGAUAGCCAAACGAUGGCUGGUAUUCCGAUCAGAUUCGGAAUCAUUGGGUGUGCCGAGAUAGCCCGCAAAGUUUCUCGAGCUAUCCAGCUUGCUCCUAACGCCACUGUCUCCGCCGUUGCCAGCCGCUCCUUCGACAAAGCCGCCAAUUUCGCCAAGGCUAAUGGCUUCCCACCUGACACCAAGAUCUACGGCUCCUACGAGUCCCUUCUUGACGACCCCGACAUCGACGCCGUUUAUUUGCCUUUACCCACUAGCCUCCACCUCAAAUGGGCUGUUUUGACGGCUCAGAAGAAGAAGCAUCUGCUCACGGAGAAGCCCGUCGCCUUGAGCGUGGCCGAGUUUGAUCAGAUUCUAAAGGCUUGUGAAGAAAACGGGGUUCAGAUUAUGGACGGUACCAUGUGGGUGCAUAAUCCCAGAACCCAUAAAAUGAAGCAGUUUUUAAACGACAAGGAGCAGUUUGGUCAGCUUAGAACGGUAAAUACAUUACUGGGUUCUGCUCAUUUUAAGGUUUUUUCUUUUGUUUAUGUAGUUCACCACUUUCCUGCUAGGCCAUAGGAGAUAGUUUAAAGCUCAAUUUAAGGUGUCAUAUGCCUUAUCAUUUUAAUAUGUUAGGCAAUGGAAUGGCGUCAUCUUCUUAAUAUCUAUGAAUAUCCAAUUCUGUAGGUGUAUCUUGCCUUUCUAAAUAUUAGCAGCUUGUUUUACUUUAGAAAUUGUAUGUCUUUGUUUGGAUGAUCCUGUUAGAUAUUGUUUUUUUUUUACUCAAUUUAAAAUGGGUUCUGUAGAGAUGUGAAGAAGAGUUUGGUAAGAUAUGGGGUUAAUGAGACAAAGGAAGCAUAGAAAUUGGGUUUUGUUUUAGGGCUCGGGUUUAAUAUUUGUCUAUCGGUGCUUUGUGCUAUUUGUCAUCUUUAUGAUUAUAGUAUAUGUUUCUCUGUCAUCCAUGUAUGUAGGCAAUUAAUUAAGCCCAUUAAAUAUAGCCUCUUGUGUGAAUGAGUUGAUGUCAUAGAUCCUAUAUUAUUGUUCGUCCAGAACCUAGUGCUUUUCUUGAACUCCUCUUCAACUGAGCUUGUUAUUGUUAAAACAUGAAACACUUGUACUCAAUGAAUCAGAGCCUAGUUCCUUGUUGGACUGUGAUUCGUUUAUUUCUGUUGCGGGUUGUUUGGAUUGUUUCGGGAUGGAAAAUCUAAAAACUUGUUGGUUUUAGAUGGAGAAGAAAAACAAAACAGUACCGAUGAUCUAGAUAUGUGAAUGUUCAUUGUACCCAGUGAUAUGAACUUUCCUUUACCAACGAAGUGAUAUGAAGUUUUGAGUUUUUAUAGCCACUGGAAAUAAGCUUGCUUGUCUUUGUACUAAGGGUUUUGUAAAGGAUAAAGUAAAUGAAUGGAGAUAAUAUUUCAUUCUGAAGCAGAGCUUACAAUAAUGGCUCUAGAGCACAGCCUUUAAGAUACAGUUGCUUAGCAUUUUCAUAAGUUCCUAUAAAUUCACAGAAGCCUUAUAGUUAUAUAUGCACAUAUAUAUGUGUAGGCAUUUUGUUUGUGUAUGAAAAAGAGAAUUAUUGUUUGUAUGCUUGCAUUUGGAUGUUUGCAAAACACUCAGCCUUCCAAUGUCUGAACCUACUCCUUUAGCACUCUUAUCCUACGUUUGGUAGGAGUAUUAUUUUUUACAUAUGUUUUAGCAUAUGAGUUAGCAGUAAAUUAAUUCAAUUGGUACUAGUUAUCCACUCCCAUGAAUUCUUUUUAGUAAAGGGAAUGGAAAAUAUUUCGUUUAUUUUGAAGAAGUCUUAUUUUUUACAAGAGUUUUUACUUAUCUUUCUGAUUUCAAGUUUAAAUUUGUAUUAACUAUUUUUUAUUUUAUGUUUAACUAUUGUAAUACAUAUGUAAUAAAUAAGAUUUUUACUAAUGUUAUUACACUAGUAGCCAAACGGAGCAUUAAUUUUUUAUCGCCAUUUGUGAGAUUAGUUGCUGCUGUUUCACAUGAACUAUUACUUAUACAAUGAUAAAAUUUAUCUGGAGUGAAUUCAAAACUUUUGUGGUUCCCUUCAGCUAGAUUUUUGAAAGAACCUAGUUCAUGGUAAAGCCUGUUUCAGAUAGACUUGCAGUGAUAUAUUUUAUUUCAAUUGUUGCUAUUAAUGUCCAAAGAUUGGUACACUUCCACAAAGUAUGCCUGAAUAAGGCAUAAAUAUGUGGUAAAAUGGCAUAUCUGACGGGUUUUGAAGAGAGAUACAGGACACAAUGUUGAGUGUAUGCGCCUCUUAUCUCUUCAUAAAUUUGUGCUUCUUCAGAAUGUUAUCUAAUUGCCUUUUGAUGCGGUCUAUGAUUUUAUGAUAAGAUGCUAUAUUGAUUUGGUGUCCUUGCAUUCUAAAUUUAUGUAUUUUUUACCUUUGACUUUCUCAGGUAAACAGUUGCUUCACAUUUUUUGCCGAUCCGGAUUUUCUCAAGAAUGAUAUUCGUGUGAAGCCAGAUCUUGAUGCUCUUGGAGCUCUCGGUGAUGCCGGGUGGUAUGGCAUCAGGUCAAUCUUGUGGGCAGCUGACUAUGAGCUACCGAAAACUGUUACAGCCUUCAGAAAUCCAGUUCUAAAUGAAGCAGGUGUACUACUAGAGUGUGGAGCGUCACUACUUUGGGCAGAUGGCAAAAUUGCAACCUUCCAUUGUUCUUUCUUAUCAAAUUUGACAAUGAAUCUCACUGCUAUAGGAACAUUGGGAACACUACAUCUUACAGAUUUCAUCAUUCCUUACCAAUAACACCAGGCAUCAUAUACUACAUCCGCAAAACCUGGAUUUAACGAACUUGUAACCGGAUGGGUGCAACUUCCGAGUGAGCACACUGUCACUGUAGAUCUACCUCAGGAAGCCUGCAUGGUGAGAGAGUUUGCCAGCUUGGUUGCAAAUAUUAAAAAGAACGGAGCACAACCGGAUAAAAAGUGGCCGACAAUCAGCCGGAAGACACAGUUGGUUCUGGAUGCAGUGAAGGCGUCGAUGGAGAAAGAUUUUCAACCUGUUGAAAUUGUGGGUUAAUAUGUUUUUAUCAUUUGAUUGAGCUUUAUCUAUGCUUGUUUGAAUUAUCUGUUUCCCCACGAGACUGCAUGUUGUGCAUUUGCUUUGUAGCAUGAAAUUUGAACUUAAUUUUAGUGAUUUACUCCAAACCAUUUAUUUUAGUUAUUUAAAAUUUUGCCCUCAACAACGUUUAUAUUUUCUGAUUGUUAUUUUUUUUGAAGUUAAAUUUGACCUUUAAUUAAAAAUGAUGAUUGAAGCAGUAAAUUGUAAUAUUUGUCACAUCAUAUUUUUAAAACUAAAAACUAAUGAAUAAUUAAAAACUAAAAAAAAAACAGAAAAAAAGUUGGUUGUGCCCCUUUUUGCAAUUUUAGUGCUAUAUUUUGUUAUCUUAUAUAUCCCGUGAGUUGCAUGAAUUAAUUGUGUAUAUAAUUUAUUUAUAAUUUAUUAUAAUGAAAUUUUAAAGAUAAAACCGUUAUAAUAUAUAGAUAUAUAAUUAAUGAUUUAGAAUCUAUAUAUAGAGAUACAAUAUAUACGAUAAAUAGUAUAAAUUUUUACCCAUUAAUAAUUAAAUAUUAUUAAAUCAUUUUCUGUGUUUGUUAUAAUUUUUAUGAAUAAUGUAAAAAAAAAUUAAUAAGCUAUAUUAUUAUGAAAGAUGCAAAAUAGAUAUUUGAAUAUAAUAUAAAAGGAUACGAUUAUUUUAUUUUAUAAAUAAAUACUUAUUUUUUAACUAUCUCAUUACAAGUUCUGAUCAUAGUGCUUCAGCAAUAUAUUUCAACGCAUUCGAGUUCACAUCCUCUUACAUUGACAAUAAUGUCCAUACUAAUCGAGCUUUAGAAUUCAAUCCGCAUAAAUAAAUACUUAAAUCAGUGAUAAAAUAUUAUUCAAUAACCUCCACUGCUGCUUAAAAUAUAAUUCUUUUGUAAAAAGGCUAACUACUAAAAUGAAUCAUCAAUUCUCUAAUAUACCAGGUUGCAAAUAAUGAUAUGUUAGAAAAAAUAUAUAUAAAAUUAAUAAAUAUAAUUUUUUUCAAGUUUAUAACAUUAUUAUAAUUUUUAAAAUAUAUUACUAUUGAAAACAUUUAAACUUCAUAUAAAAUUUUAAAUAUAUUUUUAUUGAUUGUUUUAGGGAUUUUCAAAUUUCAUAUAAUUUUUUAUUUUUAAUAAAGUUUUCGUUUUUAUUUUUAAAAUUUUUAAUAGUGUUUAUAAAAAUAAAAUACAUAUAAAUAUUUUAAAAAAUGACUAAUUAAAUAAUAUUUUAUUUUUAAAGGUUUUUUUAGUAGUAUUUGUUUAUUUUUUUAAAAUUUUGUAUAAAUUUUAAAUUUUUUUAAUAAUUUUUUAAGCAUUUUCAUAUUAUAUUUUUUAGAAUUAUUAAUUUUUAUAAAAUCUAAUAUUUUAUUUUUUAAACACUAUUGAUUUUUUAAUUAAAUAAUUAACAAUAUUUAUUUUUUAAAAUUUUCUUUAUACCUACUAUAUUCUUUUUCCUUAAUGACUUUUUAGCGGUAUUUGAAAAAAAAUUAAAAUUUUGUAUAAUUUUUAACAAGAAAGGAUUGUAUGAAACAGUGACGCCACGUCAUCUGUAUCCCUUCCCAAUAGUUUUAUGCCAAAUCAGUAUUCUUAUUCUGAAUUUCAAGAUUUUAUCCUAAAUUUUAGUAUUUUAAUUUGGAUUUGAUUUUUUUCAGAAUAAAAUCUUGAAAUUCAAGAUAAACAUACUGAUGUGGCAUAAAAUUAUUGGAAAGGGAUACAGAUGACGUGGCGUCACUGUUUCAUACAAUCCUUUCCAUCCAUAACAAUAGUUUUAAGAUUUAGGAUUUUUUUAAAAGAUAAAUUAUUUUGAAUUUAUUUUUAUAUAAAAUUUUAAUUAUAUAUCUAUAAUUUUAUUUUAUUAAAAAUAAAUUUAAUAAACAAUUAAAGAAAAUGAGGAAGCCAAAUUUAGUAUAUGUAGUUUAUUAUAUUAAAUAGAUAUUUAUGAUAUGAUUUUACUUUAAAAUAAUAUAUAUAACAGGAAACAUUUAAAGAUGUUUAAACGCCAAUAGGAGAAAAUGAUGGGUCGUGUAGGAGGAAAACUGCUUAACAUUACUGACCAUGCACUCGCAGAUAAGCGUUAAGCCAUCGACACAUGAUAAAGACCGCCAUCGAUCAUGUAUUUGCAUUAUUUUCAAUUUUUAAAUUUUAAAUCAUACUAUAUAUUAUAUUAUAUUUUAAUGUAUUUGGAUUGAUUUCGGGUCGGGCUCCAACAAAAUUUUAGAUCCGAUUGAUAGGUAUGAGAAAUGGGCUUAAAUUUUUGUCCAAUUCCGAUCCAUAUUAUAGAUGCUAAAUUCGAGCAUAGACCAACUCGGCUUGUAUUAAAACUUAUAGUAUCGAUAUAAUAGGGAAUAUAUCAAUACUUACUGUGAUGUAUCAACACCUUAAGGAGGAUAAUUUUUCUUUUAACUUUUUAAAACUUUGAGCCUUAAAAUGAUAUCAACAUCAAAUUGGGUAUUGAUACUUUUAGGCAUAUAUUUGUGGUCAAAAACUCUUAUAGAAGGCUUGAUUCAUUUUCUAAAUAGAUCUUAAUUUUUUGUCCAAAUUUAUCUUUUAAACCUUGAUAUUAAGAAUUGUGGGUUAGUCAGUUAUUUUAUUCAAUUUGAUAAACUUGGAAAUAAAGAAACUAAAUUUUAGGGCAGCCAAAGACUUAGGCGUCCUUUCUGUUAAAUAUUGCAGAAAAGAAAUUGUCAUAGAAGAUUCGUACAUUUCCCAUUUUACUUUCGUACAUUUUUGUGAAAACGAAGUCUUUUUUGUACCUAACUUGUCUUACUUUAUAAUCCGUCUAAUUUUCAAUUAUUAAUUUAUGUAGGAUCUACUCGUAUAUUAUUUAAGUUAAAAUUUUGAAUAUUGACUAAAUCUAUGUUGACCAUUAAUAUAUAAAAAUUUAGUGGACGUGAUGUUGACCCUCUCUUUAUCACAUAAGCAUUAAUAAAAUAAUUGUUAAUUGUGAUAACUUUUAGUAUUUUACAAUUGCUCACUAUUAAUUUUUUUUUUGUUACAACAAUUAUAAAAGUAUUUUUUAAUUAUUAUUUAUGUUUUAAAUAAAUUCAUAUAAUUAUUGCUCAACGUUCUUUUAUAGAAUUAUUCUUUAUUUCUUUUAUUUAAAUAGAAUUAAUCUUUAUAUAUAUUGUAUCAGAUGGAUCUUAAAUACAGAUUAAGGUUUUACAAAUUUUAAAUUAAGAUUUAAACUCGUUAAUUUCUAGUUUUAUUUUUGAAUUUUCUCAAAUUCUUAUAUAGCUCACGAAUUUGAAAUGCAAAAUUGACAAAUCGAAUAUUCGGGAUAAAGGAAAGGUUUAACAUUCUUUUAGGAAGGUUUUGUGAUAAUAAUAUUUUAAUAAUAUUCUAAUAGUUAGAAUUAAUAGUAUUACAUUCCUCAUAGAAUUAAAACUACUUCAUUUUUGUUAUAAAAUAAAGAGAGAUGGGAAGAAUAAAGAAUAAAGAAAAAAGAAAAUAUGAAAGCAACAGAGAAUGUAUUUUAUUGAUCAAAAGGGGUGGUUAUAAUGCCUCAGCAGAUUCUCUAUUUAUAGGCAUAAGAAGUAUAAAAGAAGUAAAGAUCUAAUUCUAAUAACUAUUAAAUUAUUUAAAGAAUUCCAAAACUUUAUCUUGAUCAUGAUGGGCAUCCACUUAAUAAGAUAUUCAUAACACUUGUAACACCCCUAACCCGAAUCUGAUCGCCGGAUUAAGGCUAAGAGGUAUUACCGAACUAAACAUUUAAUUAUCUCAUUCACAUUGUCAAUAAACAUAAACAGAGAUCGAGCUGAAAUACAUACUGAUAUUUAAGUUAUACGCCAUUUUCGUAUGGCCAAAAUAUUUACAAUUUCAAAACAUCGUUAUCAUCAGCCUAACCUAUACAUGCCAUAUCGAGUCCAAAAUAUAACUGUACCCAAAAAGAUCGAUAGUGUGAUGAACUGCUGAUGAUCCCCGAGUCGGUGGCCAAAAUCAACAAUCUAUAAAAUAGGGAAAUAAAGAACAGAGUAAGCUUUCAAAGCUUAGUAAGUUUUAAGCAUCACAAACAAUUAAAGACUUAUCGAAAAUCGAAACAUUCAUUUAAACAGACUUAUUCUCAAUUCAAAUUGCUUCAUGGCCGAAUACACAUAAACAUAUACAUAGAUUUCUCAGCACAUAUUUUUCUUCUACUUAAAGUUCAUACGAUGCAUUUAAAUCAAACAAUCUCAUAUAUUAACAACAUUUGACCGAAUAGGUCAUUGUUUUACUCGAAGAAGAUAUAACAAUCAUUCACACUUAAGUAUCAUUCUUUAAUGCUAAUAAUUCACAAAAUCAUUGACUGAACGUACAUGAGUACAUAAAGAAAUUUUAACAUAUAAUUCAUAUACAAAUAUACCAUGACCGAUUAAAUCAUUCUCAUAUUCGCAAAUAUAACCAUCAAUCAUAUUUAUAUAUAUAUUCUUCUUUGAUGUUAAUGAUUCACUUCAAAAUCAAUUCACCGAUGAGUAAGUAAUACGUACCUGAACAUCUUAAAUGUAUAGUACUUACUUAACGAUGGUUUACUGCAAACAUUCAAUAUCGUAAUCUUACUUAACUUACUGGCAUUAAGCCUGUCAGGUCUUAGAACUUGAAACCAAUUACCAGUACAAGCCUGCGGGAAUUUAAACCCGGUAUAAUACCAGCUCGAAGCCUGCGGGACUUUAGCCCGGACAUAUUUCCAGCACGUAGCCUGCGGACCUUAAGUCCAGUUAUAAUUCCAGCACAUAGCCUGCGGACCUUAAGUCCGGAUAUAAUUCCAGCACAUAGCCUGCGGACCCUAAGUCCAGAUAAACAUUACUGAAUGUCAUGCAUACUUAUUCGCAAGAAAAUUCAAUUCACAUAACAUCUCACAAUCAUAAUUCAUUUAUUCCAUUCGAAUAAUAGCAUAACAUGGGCACUAUUCAUAUAACUUUUGGCUCAAUAAAAUACAUAAGAAUAUAUGUCCAUUUUACUUUCCAAGCUUAACUUCUAAUGUCUAUUCGACUUUAAGCCUUAAACAUAAAUUAUUUGUCACUCAACUAUAUUCAAAUAGAAUUAAUAGAUCGCAGUACAGUUAUCAUACACAUAUCAAGACAUUAUCAAUUACGUACUAAAUGUGACUAUUCAAAACUUACCUCAGAUAUACUUGAACGGUUGCGGAAAGGCUACUCAAUUACUUUCUCUUUUUCCCUAUCCAACUUCGACCCUCUUUGCUCUUGAGCUUAAUUAAAACAAAUAGAUUUGUUUAAUUACUUAACCAAUAUUAUUUACUUAUUAAUCACAUUCAGCAAUCACAUAUCAAAUUCAAUAUGUAUUAUAAUUUAUAUAAAUAUGCCAUGAUUCAAAUUUCAUAUUUAUUUAUAACCGAAAAUGGCAAGAACUUAUCAAGCCAUGAAAAUCACUUAUAGCUCAAACACAAAAUGAUCAUAUAACACUAAUGGCCGAUUAUUCAACUUAUACCUAGUUCGCAUACACAAGAAAAACUCAUAUAGCUUAUCUUGCUUUCUUAUACACAAAUUUAACCAUCGCAAAUAUUUUAUCAAGAAACACCCUAAUCAUUUUAGCCAAAUUUUCUAUUACCAAAUAAAUCACAUAUAUAUAACACUACUCAUUACACAUAUACAUCAACUAUCAAAAAUUCCCACUCCUUAGCUAUUUCCGAAUGCUUAUAUAAGUCUUGAGUCAUCUUUAACACAUUUAUCAAUCUUCUAAUUCAACUUAAUACAAAAAUAAUAUCAUUUAAACAGCCAACACCAAAACAUUUGUUCAAAUGGACCUAGCCGAAUACCCCACAUAGCUAAAUGAUUCACACAAAUCACUAAUAGCCAACUCAAAUUCAUCCUUAAUUUCUCUUAUAACAAAAUUCAUCAAAAUUUAAUAAGAAAAUACAUCAAAUUCCAUGACCGAAUUUGCAUUUAUCAUAAAACAAAAUCCUUGCAUCUCGUCAAUAUGUCCAAUUGCAAAAAUUGCUUUAAUUCAUCACCUAAGCAACAUGAAACUCCAUUACAAUCACGAUUAUUCAUUCCUUAAAACCAACAUUCAACUAUCAAUAAUUUAGCAAAACUCAUGUAAAUGGCCGAAUGUUAUAUCCUCAACCAAAACUAAAGUUUUAACAUGGGCUACGUAGGAAACUAUGUAAUUAACUAAAUUUUCACAAGAAUUUGAAGAUAGUACAUGAAACAUACCUUAAUUUGGAUGCUAAAAUAGCCGAAAGUUUGAUCUCUCUUAUCCCCUCUUUUUUUUUAAGAAAUCGGCAAUGAAGAACAAAAGUAAUUAACCUUGUUCUUUUCACCCAUUUAAUUAUUUUAUUAUAAUAUAAAAUUGUUAUUACAUAUUAUAAUACAUUUAUAUAUAUAAAUACAUAUAAAAUUUAUACUUUUUCAACUACUAAACCACAUGGCCGGCCACUAUAAAAAAAAUGGCAAUUUGACAUUCACAUCCUUAUGAUUUUUAAACCAUAUAGUAAUAAGCCAUCACAUAAAUACCUAGCACAUUUUCAAAAUUCUCACACAAGUCCCUUUCAAUAAUUUUCAAUCAAAGCACCACAAAUUCACAUAUGCAUUUUCACACAAAUUAAGCAUGAAAUUUAACAUUCAAUUAUUUUCACAAUUCGGUUUGGUGAUCCCGAAACCACUUCCCGACUAGGGUCAAAUUAGGGCUGUCACAAUACUCCCCCUUGAAUGUCCAUUGGUAGAUAAUAUACCUCAUUAAAACCUUAUUAAGAAAAACCCUGUGGGAUAAAAACCUAAAGAGAGAGAAAAAGAGUACACAAUCUAUAAUACGCAUAAUAUGUUGCCUCAUUAAAAACAUUACCAGGAAAACCCAAUGGGACAAAACAUCGGUUAAAGGAAAAAGAGUACAACGCGUAUUUACUCCCCCUCAUGAAAAUAUCACAUAUUUUCUCAUAUUCUACGUAUUCAAUCUUGAAUAAUAGUUUUUCAAAUGACUGUUUGAAUGUAUUUGCUAAGCAUUUAUAUUACUAUUUUUUUAAAAGUCAUGAGUGAGGGAAAUUUGGGAAAAUAUAUUUUGAUCUCUUCAGGAGAUUCAACAAUAAUUAUAACAAACUUUAAUCAUGAUUCUUAUAUAAAAACACAAAUAGGUAUUUUGGAUUAUUUUAUAAUCCUCCUUCAACUACUCAAAUUUACCACAUAUGUUCAAAUUAUUUCAAUUCAUAUAAAUGAAUAACUUUCCAAGAAUUUCAAUAUGCUUCUAGCAUUCUAAAUCCUUCAAGGAUUUUAAUAUAAACUUUACUAUAUAGUGAUUUAUAAAGGUUGUAACAACAACCAUUAGACGCAAGUUAAAUCUUUUAUGAAUUGUCAAUUUAAUAAUAUAGCUAAAGAUUAUUGCAUCCACUACAAAAUAAUAUUAUAUCUUUUCAUAAUCAAUACCAGCACUUAGCGAAAAACUUUAUAUUUUUAUUCCGCUCUUGCAAAACUACUUCAUUUGCACCCUUAUUGGCUUUAUACCUUUAGAUAUUUGGACUACUAGUCCAAAAAAUCCACGAAUUUAAUUGUACUUAAGUUGCGUCUUUCUAUUUUGAUCAAUUUAUUCCAUAUCUAUAUUUCUCAAUAGAUUUAUUCAAGAUCCUCCUUUUAUUUCAUUAUUUCAAUAAUAAUAUUGCAUGCAAAAUGUCAACCACUGUUAUUAUUCGGUUCUACAUUUUCUCGAAUUGACAUAACUUAUCGAGAUAUCUUAUUUUUAUUAUUUUAAAAUUCAGUUUUAGGUACCUGAAUUUCUUUUGAAGUUUUACUUAUUAGUUAUGUCUUGGGUCUCUUCUGGAGCACCCGCUGAUGAUCGCUAAACUAACUAAAAAUUCGACUAAGGCAAGCAACCUACGAAUAGUAGUAUAGUUAUGGUAAGACCGGAAAUAUCGUAUCCACAAGGACUAAAAGUACUAGUAAUUACUAUCUUUUUAUUAUCUAGCCUAAGAAUUAAAGGGAUGUUUUUAAACUAAGAUUAAUUGUCUAAUUAAUUAAUAACACGACAGAGAUUAAAUUUGGAAAAUACUUUUGGAAAACCGAUGGAGAAAACAAUACCCAAGGAAGAAUCCUCCUAGACUUCACUUAUUCUUCUGAAUUAGACGAUUUAUUCACUUGAAUUGAUCCGUAGGAAUUCCUAGCUUAUGUUAAUAUCUCUCUCGAGACUAAAAACAACUGACUCUAGGUUGAUUAAUCGAAAUUUCUUUCUAAUUAAAACCCCUAUUGUCGCAUUAACUCGAUCUAUGGAUUCCCUUGUUAGAUUUGACUCUAUUCCGACAGAUUUAUGUAGUCCUAUCUCUAGGAUUGCAUGCAACUCCGCUUAAUUAUGGAAGAUCUACUCUUAAAUAGGGACUUUUGCUCUACUGAAUAAGCACAUCAAAACUUGAAUUAAUAUCCUGGAAUAUUAACGUAAGGAUUAAAACUCAUAAUUAAGAAUAAGACAAGUAUUUAUCAUAUAAUUCAAAUAAUAAUAAGAUCUAUCUUAGGUUUCAUCUCCCUUAGGUAUUUAGGGAGUUUAGUUCAUAAUGCUAGGGGAAAACAUCUCAAAAUUAGGAAAAUAACAAAACAUAAGAAACCCAAAAACUUCGGUAGAAAUUGAAUGGAAAUCUUCAAUCUAGAAGUAAUUCCUACUUUCGAGCUGAUUCCAAUGUCUGUCUUCAAGUAUUUUCUUCCUUCUACUCUCUGUGUCCCGCUUGAUCCUCUUCUCGUGUGUUUAAAUAGACUUUGGAAUGCCCAAAAUAGCCCAAAAUUAGCUUUUUCCGAGUAGAAUUAAAAUAAGUCUCGAUAGGGACACGGCCGUGUGGCACACCCAUGUGGUGGUGCUCAAGCCUUGUGCGCUUUUGAUAUGGUUUUAAGUCGACAUGGCCAUUAUACAUAGGUGUGUGGUUUUCCCGUGUGGAAGUGUCUGGGCCGUGUGCAGCGCUGAAAUAAACCUAUUUUGUCCGUUUUUGGCCUUUUUCUUGCAUUUUUCACUUUCCUAUGCUCAUCUGGAUAUAAAACAUGAAAUUAAAGGAUUAGGAGCAUAAAAUUCACUAAAUCUUAUGAUAAAUCAUCCGAAAAUAUGCCAAGCAUGGGAUUAAAAUAUGUUACUUUUGAGGUUUAUUACCCGCCUCCACUAUAUGACCAUCUAGAAUAAUUUUUAUCUUUGGAACCGAUCAAUCUAUUAUUUAUUCUAACUGAUUGUCCUACUAGGACUUUGAUUCAAAUUAAAAUAUUAGAUGAUACAUAACACUUGAUUAUUCUUAAUAAGAUUGUAAAUACAUCUAACAGUUAACUUGUAAUGAGUUAUUCUUAUUGAACUUCUAGUUCAAUUACUCUCUCCUUAACUCAUUACAUGUUAUUGUUUCUCUCCCCCUAAUGUUGGGAAAACUGAUAACUCAUGUCACAAUUAAAUCUCGAAUUAAUUGUUCAAAAAUAUUAUAAGGAGACUCAUAUAAAUAUACAUUCCCAAUCUCUUAUUAUGACCUGUACGUUGUGGUGGAGUAGUUGGAACAUAUACCACAUAUCCAAAAAUUGUAAGAUGGGAAAUAUUUGGCUCUUGACCAAAAAUCAAUUGUAAUAGGGAGUAUUUAUAAUUUAUUGGCUUGAUGCGUACAACAUGUAAAUCAAUAUAAUCAUGAAUCUCAUGCUGAAAUAGAAAGUUUUGUUCUCAUAAGUAAUGGUUUACCUAUUAGUUGGAGCCAUUUUAUAAACAAUUCAACUAAAUCAUUUUGUGUGUGAACAUGAGUUAUAAUAUGUUCAACUUUUAUCCCAAUUGACAUGCAAUAAUCAUUGAAAACUUGGGAUGUAAACUUACCAACGUUAGCAAGAUGAAUUGUUUUAAUUGCAUAAUCUAAAAUUAAUCAUUUAAAUAAGUAAUUUUGCAAAUGACAGGUUGCGAGUUGAUAACGCAUGUGAUUAUUUUGUAGAUGCAUCUACCAAAAUCAUAUAUUAUCAAAACCAUCCACAUGGUGGAUGAAUGGACCCAUAUUCAUUUUAAAAAUGCAAGAAUUAAAUCUCAACUUUAGCUAGUAAGUUUCUAAGAACCAAUUUUUAUUGAGAACAAGCAACAAAUGAGAAUUUUUUAAAUUAAAGAAUCUUCUGGUUCUUUAAUGGAUGUCUAUAUGAAUUCUCAAUUAAUUUUUGCAUCAUAAACGAUCCAGGAUAGUCUAACUGGUCACGCCAAGUAGUAAACACAUUUGUAUUAGUAAAUUUCUGGUUUACUUUAACAUGUGUUUCAAUUGUAGUAAAUUGUAACAAAUUGAUAACUUUAUUAUCAUUCCUUUUAAUUGUAUCCACAUAUAAGUACUAUUGUGAAAUUUACUACUAAAAAUGUCUAAAUCAAUGUGAAGUCUAUAAUGCUACCAAGUCAAUAAAUAUAAUUUCCAAAUAAUUAUAUGCAGUAUUCGCUUCAGGGAAUAUGCUAAAAUCUUCAAAUACCCAAAAAUCUAUUAACAACAAACUUUGAGAGUGGAUAUUAUUUUUCAUGUGUAUAACAGGUACAUAACCAAUGACUUUUCAUACAUAAGUUUUCUCUCUUGGAAGUUCUCUUCAGUAAUAUUUUACUACGUAAUUUUAAUUGAGAACUUAUUUUGAAUACUGUAAAGUUAUACUCACAGUUUUUAAAAAAUACUUGCAACUUUAGAUGCAUCCAACCAUAAUAAGCUUUAGAUAGAAUUAUCAUAUUUUAUUGCUCAUGAGUAGAUCUUUCACAGUCAAAUAUUUUGCUUUCAACCCUUUAAUAGGGAUGAUGAUAAAAGAAUAUCAUAAAUAUUAUAAAUUAAUAACUCAAUCCCCUUUUUUUAUUCAUAUGAAAUAUAAUUUUUUCCUUAUUCACAAUCUCAAUAUGAGAUCCAUUACAAAUAACUUUUAAAAGUAAUACAUUAACCAUCACAAAUUUUGUGCUUUUUAGAUAGUGAUAUAUUAGCUCUUCUGGAGCUUUUAACUAAUUUUGUAUUAUCAAAUAUUGAAAUAAUAUUUGUUUGUUUCAGUACCAAAUAAGAUAAAUAUUUUCUACCUGUAAUGAUAGAAUUCAUUACUACAUUUUCAUAUCAUUUCUCAAAGAAUAUUAACAGAAACAAAAUAUUUGGGCAUACGCCACAUAUGUGGUCAAUAAUUUUUCAUAUCACACUGAUAACAUAAGUUAUCUUUACCCUUGUAAAAAUUAUCCUGAGAACUCUCAUUGUUCUCUUAUUUAUUACUAUAUUCCCACUUUUAGUGGUCCAUGAGUAUAUCUUUUAUUUUCUUUAUGUUUACAUUCACUUUGAGGAAUGCAACAAAUCUAGUAGGAUGAACUUAUAAACAUUCCAGUAGAUUCUUUAUUUCAUAAUUACCAUCGUAAACAUGCAUGAGAUUUAAAAUCAAAAUCUAUCUAUGCAUGUUGUCAUGAUUAGUCUCCAAUUAUAAUAAACAAUAAAUAAAACAUAGUAAAAUAUACUUGAAGAUCUUUAACAUCAUCGUCAUUACUAGAAGGUAUGAGAUAGUUCGAAAAUAUUCUUGAUUUCAUAUGGAUAAUGAUAUCAAAUCUUUCACCAUCCUUAAGAACCAAAAAUAAAAUAAGUUAGUCAAAAUAAUGAUAACAUAUAAUGAAAUAAGAAUGAAAAACAAUAAUCAGACAUGAAACAUUAAAUAAAAGAAACUUUCUGUAAAAACUUUGCAUGUUGCCAUCAAAGAAAUUUAAAAUCAUGGAGGAUAAAUUUGAUCGUCGAUAAAAGGAACUAUCACUUUGAGCAAGAUUGUGCUGAUAACGUGUUAUAAAAUAAAAAAAGAGAUAGGGAGAAUAAAGAAUAAAGAAAAUAUAAAAGCAACAGAGAAUGUACUUUAUUGAUCAAAAUGGGUGGUUACAAUACUUCAUCAGAGUCUCUAUUUAUAAUCAUAAGAAGUAUAAAAGAAGUAGAGAUCUAAUUCUAAUAACUAUAAUUAGAAUUUAAAGUAUACCAAAACUUUAUCUUGAUCAUGAUAGACAUCCACUUAAUAAGAUCUUCAUAACAAUUUUAAUGAUUUUAAUGAUUUUUUUAAUUGGCAUAACUUAUUCUCUUUUCAGUUGUAUCUAUACUAUUUAUUAAAUGUUUUACCGAUUAGGUCUCAUCCUCAAUCAAAUCACUAGCUCAAUUAGAAAGAUUAUGGAUUUGUCUUUCAGUAAUUAAAAUAAGUUAAACUAUUCAAGGGUAUUACCUUAAAAUUGUCACUCGACCAAAGUUUCAUAUUAAUAUAUUUUAUACAUUUUUACUUUAAUAUGCAUAAUUUAUUAUCUCUAUUAACACACAUUUGUAUUCUAAAUUUGUGGUUUUCACACGUAUACACGUGUGAUAGGAUUUCUAAUAUAUUAAUAAUGUUGUUAGUUAAGUUGAUGUCACAAGUCAACUUGACACUAAGGGCCCUUUUGGAUGGGCGUUUAACUCCAGUGCGGUGCGUUUAGCUUUCUUUUUAUCUCAAGCUACAGUAUCGCUAAGGUAUCUAACCUCACCGCCACCAUUGUUUUUUCACUAAUUGUAGGUAAACACACCGCCCAUCCAAAGGGGUCCUAACUCCCAAUUGAUGACAAUUCCAUAAUAAAUAAUUGUAGUGCAUUUAGUAUUGUUAAUAUGAUUUAGUUAUGUGUUUCAAUUUUGUUUUAUUCAGAAUUUAAUCUAAUUGUUUAUUUUAAUAUUGUACAUAUUUCAUAUAUUAUUAUGAUUAAUUAGUUGAAAUCCAUACGUUUCAUUGUUUAUUGUAUGCUAUUUUUAAAUUAUGUUUUAAAUUUAUGAUUUCCACAAGUAUAGGAGUGUGAUAGGAUUUCUCGUAUAGUUAAUGAUAUUUUUUUUGCAUUGAGUAAAAAAGUAACAUUUUCUAAAAUGAAAAAGUAAUCCAUCCUUUCCAUGAAAGAGAUCAUAAAAUUUGAAAAAAAAUAAAAUUCCAACAUCGGCGGUAAAAGACAAGCUCCACCAACAUGAUAAAGGCUUUAGCCUCAUUCACAAUAGAACAUUUUUGCAUGUUGACAACUAGUUUUAUCACAGCUUGACUUGCUUAUAGGUUGAGCUACCCGCCCAAGUCAUAAGGCUCGCUCAAAAUUGGGAAAGGUUUGGGUAAAAAUAUUAGGCCCAAAAAAAUGAGCUUGAGUAAAAAAUUUAAGGCAAUUUAAAAUAUAGGUCCAGCUCGGGCCAUGUAAUGUUUUAUAUUAUAUUAUUUUUAUAUAUUAUGUAAUUUAUAUCACAUAAAAAUUUAAUCUAUAAUGUAAACAUUAAAAAUAUUAAGAUGACUAUAUAUAAAAUUUUAAUAAAUAAAAAAAUUAAAAUAUUUAAUAUUAUAUUAAAACUAACAUAAAUAUAUUCUUUUUGAAAAAAAUAAUAUAUGCGGGCCUAAAAUGGGUUUGAGUUAACUAUUUACAAAUAUGACCAGACUUAGACAAAAUUUUAGGCCCAUAUUUCUAGUCGGGUUGGGCUUGAGCAAACGUAAAGUGUGUUAAUAUCAUGGUUAGGUUCGGCUAGGCCUAGCCUGACUCAUGAUCAUCUCUAGUCACAACUCAAGGACGACAUAUCUAAGUUAAUUGCAAACACUUAUCAUGAUAAGGGAACCAACCCUAGAUGGUCCAAAGGGACAUGCAAAAUUAGUAAAAGAAUUGAACAUCCAUUAAACUGGAAAGAACAACAAUAAAUCCAUCUCUAAAAACAUUUGCAAAAACAAGACGACAUAAAUAAGCAAGACUAAAAACUUGUACAAGAAAAGAUAAAAACUUCAAAAAUAGAAAACUAUUAAACAUAAAAAAACACAUUUAAGAACAAUACGAAUCUAAACCGACUCGUGAAAUCAAUUAUUAUUCCAAAAUAAUGUCAUAGCAAAAAUAGAUAAAAAAUUGAUUGAAGAGUCAUCAUUUUAGUAUCUACAACCAACUCACAUUCUAAGGGAAAUUAUUGGUGACCGAAGAAGCUUUAGCGACGAUAGGUAGUAUCAUCUACCCAUCACAACUCAUAAAGGUAAUUGUUAGAGUUUGUGUGACCCGAACCCCAUCACUUGUUGAAGAAAUAAAUACAUUGACAAAAUAAAGGGAUCUGUGGGGGCGAGAGGCCGAGGGCCAUAAUUCAUAUAGAACUAUACUUCUAAUAUUUGACUUUAAUUAUAACAUGGUUUUUUAACCUUUAAAUAGAUGUAGACUACUUUGUAUCAUUCAUUUUUUAAUAUUAGUGAAUUUCUUCUCAUUUGCCCGUAGUUUUUUUUUUGAAAAGGUUUCAAUGUAAAAUCUAUUUGUUCUUAUUUUUUCUUUUCUUAUUGCUUUACUAUUAUUCUAACGUCAUUAUCGAUGUUUAUUAUAAUAAUAACAAAGAUACUCAUAUCAAAUUCAUAUCAAAUUUGCAAACCGAAAAGAAAGAAUGCACAAAGAUUGAAUGAAGAAAAGAAAUUGAAAAGAUUAGAAGUUGGAGAAAAAGAUGGGGAGCAAGAAAGCCGACAUCUUCAUUGAACAAAACAAAGGAAAAGAAAAGAAAAACUCUAGAAAAAGAAAAGGGAAAAAUCAAGUGGAUAUUUUUAAUUUAUUAAAAAUUGAAAGAGAACAUAAAUUAGUAUACUUGGAUUGCUAAAAUAAUGUUACAGAAAACUAUUAAAAUGCACAAAAUUAAAAUAAAGUUAUAUUUCUUUCCUAUAUUAAUAUUAUAUAUGUUAAAAUUUGACAAUGAAUUUGGUUGUAGAUCAGAGGUCUAGAAAGUUGGCUGGGCUGAAGAUUUUGAAUUUGUGAUAGGUACAUUGUUUCAAGGACUUCCUUUUUCUACCAAAUUGACUUUGAGCAUCCAUGAUGGCUUCUUCUUUUAUAAAUUAAAGAGAAAAUCAAACCAAAAGAUUACAAAGAGAGGGGGGACACACAGCUGAAACAGAUAAACAUCAAAAUGGGUUCCCAAAAACACGUCUUUCUUUUGUUAUCAGUGCUUUUGAUUCUCAAUUCCCUUCUCUUUUCCGGUGCCGAUGAAGAUCACUAUUACGAAUUUAUUGUAACUUUUGUAACCUUUUUUGUCCCCUUUUCGUCCAUGUUUAAUCAGAUUUUUGGGUAUUUAUUUUGGAUUAUUGUUUUUAAUUUGCAGUUGCAAGAAACAGAGAUUACGAAGCUAUGCAGCACAAAAACCAUAUUGACAGUGAACGGCAGUUUUCCAGGGCCUCAAAUUCGGGUUCGAAGAGGCGACACUGUUUAUGUCAAUGUGCACAAUCAAGGAAGAUCUGCUGUUUCCUUUGAUUGGUAUACAUACUAUUAAAUUCAUUUCAUAUAUUUAUAUUAUCAUACUAUAUAUAUAUUUACUUUUCAAAUAAUAUGUAAAUGACAUAAACAGAUUUGAUGAUGAGAUGACUUAAUUUUGUGGGAUUUUUCUUUGUUUUAUGAGAAAUUUAUUAGGCAAGGGGUUGAGGAUCCGGUUGAUGGUUCAAACGAGUUGAUCCAGCCUGGUAAAAACUUCACUUACGAGAUCGAAUUAGACGAUGAAAUCGGAACUUUAUGGUGGCAUGCAAGGAGUGCUUGGGCUAAAGCUACCGUCCAUGGCGCCUUUGUCAUUUUACCGGCAGCCGAUGAAGAGUAUCCUUUCCCUACACCUACGUCAGAUCAAAUCAUUAUAUUCGGUAACAUGGUUUUUAAUUCUUCCAUUUAUGGUUGCAACUUUUUGUUUAUUAUAUAUAUUUAAGGCUUUCGAAUCGGCAAUUGCAUGGCAAAUUAUUUUUUCAGGAGAAUGGUUUAGACAAGAGUUAACGGAAGCUAAUGAAACCAUUGCUGCUGGCCAAGCAGACGGUUACACAAUCAAUGGCCAUCUUGGAGAAACAUAUGGAUGCAGUAAUGGUACAUACUCGAUACUCACGCCCGAAUCCGAAUAAUAUAAUUUCAUUGUUAAGCCAUCUUUGUAAUAAUAAUAUUCAUAAUUUUGUGUUUGAGAACAGAUACAACAUAUCUGCUAGAAGUGGCUUACGAGGGUCUUUACCUUCUUCGUUUAAUAAAUGCCGUUGCCAACGAAACAAUGGUGUUCGCCAUCGGGCAGCACAGUUUCACGACCGUCGGACAAAACGCGACAUAUGCCCAACGCUCUUUCUCAACUUCUCUUACGUUAGCACCGGGCCAGACGCUCGACGUUUUGCUCGGCGCAAACCAAAACGUCGGCCAGUAUUACAUCACUGCUCAACCUUCCUCUGGCAGGCAUAAUACCACCGGAGUUCUACAGUAUCUCACCAGCACUGGUGUUUAAUUUAGUUACUUGGUUUUUGGGAUUCCAUUGUUAUAGUUUGUUUAUGAAAUAAGACAUUCAGUAGGGCAGACCACUAUAUAUAUAUAAUAAUUUCGAUGCCCUUUCAACAAUCCAUGCUGGUGGAAAAAUUUUGUGUUUUUUCAUUAAAAGGUUGUUCGUUGGUUGUAACAUAUGUAUUUGUUCUUUGAAUGAUUAAUGUGUUAUAUUGCAUUCUUUAUUUUUUUCUCUGUCAUACUUAAAUUUUAAAAAAUAAUUAAUAUGAUACUUCUUCUUUUAUUAAGUGACAAAAUAAUGUUUAAUAUAUCUUAUAUGAGACCAUAACAUAAUAUCGUUAGCGAUAAUGAUUAAAAAAGUUGAACUGAUAUGAUCCAUUUUAUGAUGGACAUGGUGAUAAAUAAUUUUGUAUUUCAAUCAAAUUAUUAAUGUAAAAUGUAAUUUUUUUUUGAUGAACAUGAGAUAAUCCAUUCAAAGAAAAGGAUAAUAAGCAAACAAUGAUAAAAAAAAAACAAAUUAUAGAAAGUCUAAUACAAACUGUACAAGCAGAACAAGACAAGAUUCAAAGGUUUACAAUUCGAUUAUGGAAAAACAGCAUACUACGCUUAGAUCAAACCACAAUUGCCUAACAAAAGGAAGCAAAGACGAAAACCUUCAUCUAUAUGUCCGUGUUCAACCAUUAGAAUAGAGAAGUCGCCAUUAUGCAUAGAACCCUCGUCAUGUCCUCACCUUCGUUGCAAUGGACAUGCUUCAAGCUAACCUAAUCCAAUGGAUGCGAGCAGCUUUAGUUAGGGGUGUAAUCGAGUCAAAUUGAGCUUAAAUAUUGUCAAGCUCGACUUGAAAUUUGAAGUUUGAUACUCAACUGAAGCUCGAUGAAACAUUUAUUUUUAAGUUUGAGAUUGACUCAAGAUAUAAUCGAGCUAUUUGAGCUCGAGCUCAAUUAAGUUCGUUUAUCAAUUUUUAUACUUAAGCUCGAAUUCGAGCUCAAUUAAGCUCAUUUACUAAAUUUCAUACUAAGCUCGAGCUCAACUCAAUAAUUAAACUUAAGAUUAAUAAUAUAUACUAAGAAGAAUAACUUGUGAGCACCUGCAGCUAGAAUUUUUUUUAAAGGGGCUAAAAUUAAAUUAUAAUUUUUUCUAUAAUAAAAAUGUAACUUUUGAAAGAUUGAAUUAAAAUUUUAAUAUUUUUAAAGAGAUUAAAUGUAACUAACUUAAAAUUUUAAAAAUUUAAAAGGCGAAAAUGACCAUCCCCAAGAUUCGGCCUGUGUCUCAUUUAUACUCUUACCUCUAGCAAAACAAGCAAUCCAGGGAUGCCCGAGAAAAUCCUUCACACACAAGGCUUGAAAGCUUGCGUCAAGGAAGAAGCGAGUACAAACCGACUCGAGAGAACUCCUUUAAGGGAGGAGCCACGGGAGACCCUAGGCUAGAUAUAUUACUCUGAACAAACUUACUGGAAAAACAGAGGAUGGUCGGCAAGAGGAGGAGGUAGGAGUGGAGGUAAGGAAGGAGAAGGAAAAAGGAAAAAGUGAAGGAGGAGAAAGCGAGAGAGCUGUUUCCGGCGAGGUCAGCAACGGCAACCCAUUAAAAGACCACACCGAAAGCAACCACGAGAGGCAACAAGGAAGGGGAAAGGAGAAAAAAGGAGGAGGGGGAAAGAGGAAGGGAUGAGAAAAGAAAGUGGACGAUGGUGGAGGAAAAGGGUGAUCGACACCGACCCUAAGUUUGACAGCCGGCAUAAUGGAGCAGAGAAAAGGAGCAGGAAGAAUCAGAAAGCCAGCGAUCGACCUUAAGACCGCCGCCCAACAUCACAAGCUCCCCUCGCAAUUACAAAAUGAGAGAAUAAUACAGGAAUUUGUAGAGAGACAUACAGUAAUACAUCUGACAUGUUUUGUCCCUACAAAAUUGAAGUGCUUAAAAUUUCAAUUUAGGUACCUUCUGCUUCAUCUAUCAUUGACAGGGGGGACUUCUAGGUAAGGUAGGGCCUUGACUCUUAGGUUCAAAUGAUUAAAUCGUUCUUUUAAUCCUUUAAAUAAGUUACAAUUCAAUUUAAGUCUUCUUUUAACACAAAAUUUAUUUCUUUGCCCCCUUAGGUUAAAAAAGUUGUGUUCUUGCAUAUUGUUUCAUUCUUUAGCUCCUGUUCGUUCUUCGAAAAUUCUUUGAAAGAGUUGUUCAUUUUUAACAUGGUUACUUCAUCGUCUACUCCAUGUAUAAAGGAUUGUUUUAAUUUUCUAAUUUUGGUGCAAAUAAUAGUUCUGGUUGUAAUGGAAGAAGCGGCCAAUGAGAUAAUUGCAUGGUGUUAGCCCAUGAAGAGUGACUUCACAUGGGUUUUCUUGUGGAACAUCAAAGCUAGGAGUUGUAGCAAUACUAGGAGCCUAACAACCUAGUUUCUAAAAUGUUAUAUCUUGAUUAAACUCUAAUGAGUUUAUAUUUGAACCCAAUGUGUUUGGAAAUUCCUUUGUUUUACACUGUAGUUACUUCUUUUGAAAAUGAUCCAUGCCUUAUCGGCGGUUGUGCACUUACAAGUUUUCCUAAAUUUUUGAAAAUCUACAUUAUUGAAGAGAUCGCAUUUAGAGCAUUGUAAUCAUAACUUGUAGCAUUGUUGUAUUUAGUAGUCUUUAAGAGUGCUAACACCAUUUACUACAACUAUGGGUGGUUACUAACCAAUAAUAAUAACUUUUCAUGCUUUCACAUUUACGAGUAUGAUUUGAUUUAGAGAAAGAUUGUAUGAAAUUGUAGUUUCACGUUAUUUUUAUCUCUUUCUAAUAGAAAAAUGAAAAAUCAAAUUUUUCCUCCUAAUUUUUAGCUUUUUCCUCUUGAAAAAAUUCAAAUCCAACUAAAAUUGCUAAAAAUCAAGAGAAAAAUUAACAAUAGGAUCUUUACCAAUUUUGUAUGUUGUCAUUCUAUAUCAAUUCUAAGUAUUGAGUUGUUGGUGAAGUUUUUAGUUGCAACUAUUAGACACAACUUAAAAAUGGAAAAUUAAAAUGAAGAAUACAACCACUUGAUUAUGCAAUUCAAAUAUAAUUCUUUGGGUUGUGGGGCUUUUUACCUAGAGAAUAAUCCACUAUAAUGUCAUUAGUACAAGAGAUGAUUUAAGCUUAAUUUCACUCAAAUUCGUUGCAACCUCACUCCCGUGCAAUUAUAAUGAUAAAACUAUUUGAAUACAUCACAAAAUCACUCACUAAUGUUCCUUACAAUGAAGAUGUCGAGUUUUUUCCAAUUUGCACCAGAGGCAUAUCCAUGGGGGAUGGCAGGGCCUCGACCCCCUAAAAUAUUGGAAAAGUUUACAUUUAGGUCAUUUAUAAUUUAUAAAAUUUUAAAUUAGUAAUAGAAAAAUUACACUUUGGUCCCCUCUAAAAUGAUAAAAUUUUGAUUUAAUCUUCUAAAAAUUAUAAAGAUAUAGAUUAUUAAAAUGAUAAAAUUACAUUUUUACUAUUAUAAAAAUAUACAAUCAAAUUCUGCCAAAAAAAUUCUAACUUCACCCUUGAUCUACAUCGAAAUCCGUAAAUGUGUUUUUCAGGCGUCUCAAUCUUCAUGAAUUAAGCUAGUAUGAUAAGAACAAAAUCUAAAGAGUUCUGGUUCAUAUCAAUCACCUUAAAUGUCUGCUUGAGAUAAGCAAAAAACACCUUUGAUCGUGUAUCUCUUAAAUAUGAAAAUAAUCACAUUUUGGCUUAGUUUGGAUGGGCAGUGUGUUUACCUCCGGUGAGAUUAAAGACAGCAGUGGUGGUGAGAUUGAAUACUGUAGUGAUGAGAUUAAAAACAACGGUGGGGUGUGUGUUUGAAUUUAAACGUAAUUGUAGCAGUGAGGUAAGAAUAGAAAAUGACUAUUAAGAACAUUAGAUUAAAAAUAAUAUAUAAUAGAAGUUUUUUAAAUUGUUUUACUUUUACGAAAUUAUUAAAAAUACGUGAAUUUAUAAAAUUAUUUAAUAAAAUAUUAAAAUGUAUCUUCCGAUCUUUUAUUAUAUAAAAUGGGAAUUUUAACAUUUUAAAAUCAAAAUAAUUAAAAUUUUAAAAUUAAAAUAAACAACCUAAAAGUAGUUAAUUUAAGGAAUGAUAAAUUAAAAUUUCUUUUGAUAAUAACGUAUAUUAGUUUGUUAUAAAAUAAUGGGAAAAAAUGUUUAUUAUUUUAAAUUAAUAAAAUUAUCUUACAAUUGAAAAUACAAAAUUAUAUUAUUGAAGUUGAAGGUAAAAUGAAGAAAGAGAAAAAAAAAAAAGAGAACGGAGAAAAAAUAGGAGAAAGAAUGUAAAAGGAAAAAUGACCACCAAUGAGAUGUUGGAACAUUUGACUGAAGCAUAAAGCUCUAUUGGAGAAACUGGUGCCCAGUGUGUUGAGUAAUACUCCAAUGGUUCUGUUCUUUACAAUCCAAAGGAAUAGGUACGAUGCGAUUCAACCAAAAAGUACUCCAAACGUAAUGAAAUAAGAUCAAACGGGCAACUAAAGGAAGCCAAAUCACUUCAAAUUUUUUCUUGAUGAAAUAUCUUCUCCAACUAUACUACUAUGUUCACUACACAAAAUCCUUUAAAUAAUUAAACAAAAAUAAUCAAAAGAUGGCAAUAAAAAUUAACAAAUCUAAGCAUCUCAAUUGCUAAUCUAAGUUGCAACUUGCUGUAUCAGCCAUAAUAAAAAUAUAGCUGUCUGCAGUAGCAAAUUCACCUUCUAAUCUUUUAAAUUAAAAAACAAAAAGCCGCUGCCACUGAUUUAUUCGUUUCUUUCUUCACUUUUGAUUCACUGCCUGGAUUAAUAUCCAAUGAUUAGUUUUUAGGUUUAAAAAGGAUAAACAAUUAAAAUAUAACAAAACCAUACAAAUACAUAAUAAAUUUUAAAUUCAUAAUUAAAAUAUUAAAAUAUUAAAAGUGUAUAAAAUCAUUUUAAUUUUUACACUAUCCCUUCUCAUAUAAAAAUAAUAUAAGUACAUAAAUAUUUUUAAAAUUUAGAUAAUACAAUAUAUUAAUGUACAACAAUUUAUAUAUAAAAAAUACUUUUAAAAUGUUUAUGACGCUAUAGAAACAAAUAAAAUAAAAUAAAAUUGCAAAAUGAAAACCGAAACAAAAAAAAAAAUGUAUUUGAUAUUUAACCCAGCCAGUGAAUCUAAAAAGAAGAAAGCAAAGAAGCUGCUUUCAAAUUUCUAAGGAGGAAAUUCGCAAUGCCUUCCUUGAUGGGAAUGGGUAUGCGUAUAUUUAUAUGUAAACACAAAUUGUGGUAACAGCAUUAAUCAUGAUUACAAAUUAUGUCGACAUAUGGAAAUUAUGAUACACUGCAAUUUUUUCGCACAUAUGGAAAUUAUGUCAACAUGUUUUGGAUAUAAGAUGUUUAAGGUUAAAUAUCUUUUAUCUUUUAUAUAUAUUUUUAUUCUUUUGGAAAAAAAAAAUUGAAGUGUUGUUCCCGAUGAGAGAUUUGUUUCCCUAUCUUGCAGUGAAUUCAAAAUUCAAAUGUUUAAAGAGAUUGCCUAAAGAGGCAACAGGUUUUAUAGAGUGAAAAUAGCUGGUUGAUGUUUGAACUUUAAAGAGAUGGAUUGUAUGUGUCUCACGACUACCUAUUAAGAAAAUCUUAACAUUUGCACUUGUGGGUUUUGAAUUGUAUCUUGUGGCACCUAAAGCAUUUAUGGACAAUUACACUAGGAAAAUAUUUUUGCUAUUUUCCAGAAAUUUGCUUGGAAGUUAAGAAUUAAUUUUAACGAUAGUUCUUCUUCCUUUCCUUUUAUUUUUAUUUUUGUUCUUCUUCUUGUCAUUUUAUAUUUUUAUUGUUAACCAGAAGUGGUGAGGGGAUUCAGGAUUAAUGGAAGUUCUGUUGUUGGUCACUGGUUAGAAGGCUAUCGGUAAGUAACUGUCAAUGCGAGUGUCUCCGCAAAUUUUCCUUCGUUUUGUAAAUUACUUGGAACGGUGGAUUUUUGUGAGUUUCGAGAAUCUUUUCUAAACGUGUGUGUAUUUACUUAGCAGUCAGGGCUAUUAACAACAAGGAAUAGCAACGAGACAAUCUCUGUGAUUGUUGCUGAAGUUUCAGUAAGUUUGGGAUAUUUGAAGGUUUUGUGUCGAAGCUUUCGACGUAUGUGUUAAGUGAGUAACAGGAAGUUCUGUUGAUUAGUUGGCUAAAUUGUGUUGUUGGAUGCUUGUUUUAGGCUUCGCGGAUCUUUAGGGUUGUUGUCGCUUCAAAGUCUUUUCAGGUGCGUAUCAAAAAUAUCAGUUUUUGCAAGUUUUGGUCGUCAGAAAGUGAUGGCUGUCGAUGCCACACGGGCGUGUGGUAAGCCGUGUGACUCACUGUUCAUCGAAUUGGGGCCACACGGGCUGGCAUACGGGCGUGUGUCCAGGUCGUGUGUAGCCAAAAUAGUACAGGGUUCACACGGGUAUGAGACAAAGGCAUGUGUCUAGGCCAUGUAACUCACUGUUUAUGACUUAGGACCAUACGGGUAGGCACACGGGCAUGUGUGUCUAGGCCAUGUGAGUCACAUGGGCAAAGACACGGCCAUGUUUCCAAACCGUGCAACUUUCUAUUUACAAGUUGGAACCACACAGGCAGAGGGCAUGGGCGUGUGCCCAAGCCGUGUGAGCCAUACUGGCAAGGACAUGGCCGUGUGCCCAGGUCAUGUGGCUGUAUAAAGGAGGCCCAAAACCCGUUUUUGAGGCCGUAAUUGUGGUCUAUGAUUGAUAAUGAUUAACCAUUGUAUGAAUGAUCUGAACUGGAUUGAGUGAGAUCUCUCUAAUACUCUGUAACUGCCACAAGAAUGUUAUAACUGCAAGUGUAUUGUGAAUAUAUGUACUCUGUAUAUGCAUGGGCCGAGAUGUUGUGAAGAAGGAAGUAACCUACUCUGAAUCAGCGGUUGAGCCACUUUAUGAGUAGUUCUAAUUCUGGCGCUAUGACGCAUUAUGAUCCAAUAGCUAAGCCGUGUUACUGUAAACAUGUCAAAUAGAUACUUCGCAGUGUGUAGGGAUGGAUGGGCAUUGAAUGUCCUUAAUGGUGUGUUAGGAUGGUCGAAAAUGGUGUGUAGCGGAUGAGAUUUAGGAAUAUCUGCAUUUAAAUUUGAUCUGUGAUAUAUAUACAUGUGAAAUUGUGCAUAUAUAAAUAUCUAUCUGUGUACAACUGAUCUGUUCUUAAUCUGAAUUGUAAAUAGUCUUGUAUCGAGCCGAAUCUAUAAAUAUAACUAUUUUAUAAAUGAAUACGAAUUGAAUAACUUAACUUUGGUUACGCACUGAGUUUACAACUCAUUUUGUUUUGGUUGGAUUUCAGGUGAACCCCAGUCUUGAUCAGGUCGGUGUUGCUGGAGCUCGGUCAAACUUUUAUCUUCUUUUAAGCACUACUAUUAGAGAUUUAGAUUCUAUGGUGUUAUGGAAUCUAUGGAGAUUAUAUGUUUUAAAUUAUUAUUGUCACGAAUGUUGCGUAAUGAAUGGUGUCGUUCGACUGUGUUAUGAUAGUCUGAAUUUUAGUACGGAUGAUGUAACUCUCCAAACUUGGUCUGGACGUCUAGACCGGAUCUAGGGUGUUAUAUUUAGUGGUAUCAGAGCCAGGUUUGCCAGCAUUCGGACUGUGUUUGGGCUCAUAAUGUGGUAGAAAAGUAGUUUAGUGAUAAUUAGUAUCUGAACUAAUAUAGAAACACUGAAACUCUAGAGAACAGCCGAGCCUCCGACGCUGACCCUGUAAGUAUUUCUAUUCUGUUAUAAAGAUUAUGACCCUUAUACUGUUGUGGGUAAAAUGUUCUGAUGUAAACUGGUAAAAUUAUCCUACUGGAUAUCUGAACUAAUCUGUGUACUCUGAUAUUAUAGCUAGAUUGCGUUAUGAGUUCGUACGGUAGUCGUGGAUGUGGGAUGUGUAACGGCCUAAUUUUCAGUGGUGUCGGAAAUAGUGAUUUGAGAUCACUAAAUUCGACAAAUAAGAUUGAACAAGAUAGUAAUUUAAUAUUUAUGAGUCAAGUAAGAAUUUAGAAGAAUUUGUGAAAUGGUGAAAUUAGUGAAUUAAAAGAAUUUAUUAGGUCAAACGGGUCAAAAAUGAGGUAUCGAGACCUCAAAGUUGAAAAUUGAGGUAUAAAUAUUUUUAUAAAUAUUUAUGUAGUGUCAUUGAGUUAGUAUUAAAGUUUUGUUAGACAAUUUUAACGUUUGGAUGGCUAAUUAAUUAAAAAGGACUAAAUUGAAAAUAGCGCAAAAUUUGUUAAAUUGUGAGUAAAUAGCUUAAGUAUUUAAAAAGAUGGAUUUAAAGAGCAAUUAGACCCAAAGAUUAAUGGCUGGACGGUUUGGGUAUGAAAUAAGCAAGAAAACAAUGUGAAUAAGGGGCAAAAUUGGAAAUAGCAUAAAAGUUAAUAGUUAAAUAAUGAUGUAAUUGAAAAAUCUAGACAUUUCUUCAUAUUUUCUCAGCCAAAACGCCAUAUAAGGUCUGGAGAAAGCUGGUUUUUCAUAUUUUUACAUCAUGUGAGUUUAAUUCUUACUUUUCUUGAUAAUUUUUAUGUUUUUAUGACUUUUACAAUUAGGUCCACUUGUAGAAUUCAUUAGUUUUUUAUUUUAUGGGUGAAAUUGGAAGUUACCCUGGAUGGAUAAGGGAAUUUUAUGAUGAAUUAUUAUGAAAUUUAAGUUCUAAUUUCAUAUUAAGGUGGUUUUAUUAAGUGAUUUUGAUAGGAAAUGAUAUUUAGGACCUAAUUGUGAAAAAGUUGUGAAUUGAAGGUUUCUUUUGAAAUUAAGAAUAUAAAAGGUUUUGAAAUAGUUUAUAAUGAUAAAAUAAAGUGUUAAUUGAGAAAAAUCAGUUCAAUUGAUGGGUGAAUUGAGCAGGGACUAAAUUGUGAAAACUAUAAAUUUUGGGGUAAAAGUGCAAUUUCAAAAUUUGAACAGCAUAAAUUGUGAAGUGAAAUAGAAUUGAAAUGGAUGCUAAUGAAGGAAUGAUUUUAUAAUUAUAGAUCAAGAAAACGAACUGAAUCGUGGAAAGGAGAAAAUUCAAGAAUAGUCCCUAAAUUUCUACGACUUUUGCAAAUUAGUCCAGGUAAGUUCAUAUGGCAAAGUUCAAUGUUUUGAUAUGAAAAUCUUAUGAUUGUUAAAGUAUUUUAUUGUUGAUUAAUACUAUCAAUUUGCAUUAACUAAUGAAUAAUAUGUAACUAAAAGUACAAAUUAGUAGGAACAAUGGAUUUAAGUGCUUCUAUUCUGUGACCCUGAUGAAUUGACGAAAAAUAUGUGAUAAGUGUGCCCGUUUAAGACCAUAGCUGGGCUAUGGCAUCGGUGCAAUGUGAUAAUAUGACUCCGUAUAAGACCAUAACUGGGCUAUGGCAUCGGUAUAAUGUGAUAAUGUGAUUCCGUAUAAGACCAUGUCUGGGAUAUGACUUCGGUAUGAUAUGUGAACCGUGUAAGACCAUGGGAAGGCUAUGGCUUCGGUGUGUGAUGCGUAACAAUGUGAAAGUCCAUAGUUUACUAUGGCAAUGUGAUAAUGAAGCACUCAAUUCCCUUAUUGUUCCUUAAAUUGACAAUGAAGUAAAUGAGAAAUGGGCCUAAGGGAGUUAAAUUGUGAGUAGCCAUAUGGAAAUUAUUCCAAUGAGUUAUUAAUGAAAUUGUGAUUUGGAGGAUGAAAUAGUUAAACUAAUAGAUAUAAGAUUGUGUACGAUAUUUGAUAUGAUUUGUGUUUAUAUGCCUAUGAGCUUACUAAGCUUCAAUAAGCUUACUUGUGUGUGUUUAAUAUUUUUAUGUAGAUUGACUUGAAGUGAAGUGGGUAGAUCGGAUCAACACAACAGGGCACACUAUUCAGAUCAAUUCUGGUAGUUUUUGUUUUAUGUUUAAAGAUUUAUAUGGCAUGUAUAGAGUUUGAAUGAAUUGAAGUAAAGAUGUUAUGAACUAGUUAACAAUAUUUGUACUAAAAUAGUUUUUGGUAAGUAGCAGUAGUUUGACUUUGAAAAUUCACCAUAAAUUUUGGAAAUUGAGUUAAGGGCUGGAAAAAAAAUGAGAUUAAAGCCUAAUGAGUCUAGUUUCAUAUAGAGGAAACGGUGCAUGCAAUUGGAUUUUAUGUUAUGAGAUAUUUAAAUUGUGGUGAGACAGAGUCUGAAUGACUUCGAGUUCCCCUGUUCUAAUUUUAGAAAAUAAUUAAAAAUUGCAAAAAAAUAAUUAUGAGUCAUACUGUAUAUGUAUGGAUUCCUAAUUGGGUCUAUUUUUAAGAGAAACAAACGGCAUGGUUAAUUGAAUUUUGUACAGAGAGAAAUUUGGUUCGUAGUGCACAGGGGUCAAAGUAGCCAAACCCUGAAAUAGGGGAGGAUUUAACUAAUAAACUGUACUAAUUGGACCAACAAAAAAUUAUAAAAAAAAUUGGUAAGUAGAUAUAUGAGUAUAAAUUCGGGGAAAAUUUACGGAUUUGGGUUUCGAGUUUUAUAACUCGAGAUAUGAAUUAUUUAGCAACUAUGACACAGUUGGACAGCUUGUCUGAAAAGUAUGAUAUAAAUUAUCUAAAUUUGGUUAAGUGCUCAAAUAAGUUUAGUAGUGCCUUGUGCUUGACUCCGGCAACGGUCUCGGGUAAGGGGCGUUACAUUUAUUGGUAUCAAAGCCAGGUUUAGCCGAUUCUCGGAAUAUGUAUGAUGUGAAAAGUGUCUAGAAUUACAUGCCAUAUAAAUCUGUGAUAGUGUGCUGUGUAUGAUCCGAUCUAAUCCUUGCUUUUAUUAUAGAUUAUCUUCGAUUUGAAAAAUGUCAGAUAGACCAGAACAAACUGAGCAAGAAGAAGUUAAUAGCAGAGUACAAACCUCUGAACAAGGAACAAGUAGUAAAGCUCUGAUUUCAUUGAUGCGAGAACAAGAACUCAAAAAUAUGAUUUAUGGAUUCAUGAAUCAGUGGUAUAAUGAGAAUGUGCGAGAAAGAAAUCAGACUACACAACCUCCUCCCCCUAUCUCAACAUCUGUAGUACCCCCGGUUGCUCCUCGACCUCCUCCGACAACUGAAUCUGGCAAACGUUCACCAUUUGAAAAGCUCAGAAAACAUGGGGCUGAAGAAUUUCGGGGAAGAACAGAUGAUGACCCCGUUAAAGCUGAAUAUUGGUUACAAAGUAUAAUGAGGGUUUUUAAGCAAAUGGCAUGCUCACCAGAUGAUUACUUAAUAUGUGCCGUGUCAUUAUUGAAAGAAGAAGCUUAUAACUAGUGGGAAACAAUAGAAGCUGUUGUACCGGCUGAGAAGAUCACUUGGGAAUUUUUUCAAAAUGAAUUUAAGAAGAAAUAUAUCGGUAGAAGAUAUCUGGAUAAGAAGAAAAGAGAAUUUCUCGACUUGCGACAGGGAAACAAGUCAGUGGCUGAAUAUGAAAGAGAAUUUGUUUAUCUGAGCAAAUAUGCUCGAGAUAUAAUACCCACAGAAGAAGAAAUGUGUAUCAGAUUUGAAGAAGGGCUUAAUGAUGAGAUUAAAAUGAUGAUAGGGGGCAUUGAGAUACGAGAAUUUGUUGUUCUAUCAGAUCGUGCUCAGAAGCUUGAAGAAGUAUAUAAUAAAAAGAUGCAACGAGAUAGAAGAAGUAAAGAAUCUUUCAAAAGAAGUGCAUCUAAGUCAUUUUCGGCUUUACCAGUGAAGAAAUCUAAAGAGGAAUUCAGUCGAGCCACUUCAGUAUCGGAAAGAUCAGGAAAAAGUAGGCCAAGACAAUCUGAUUACAAAGCAUCUGACAGACCUGCUGUUAGUGUGGGUAGUGUACAAAAUACCCAAAGGCCUAAGUGUUAACAUUGUGGAAGAAGUCACCCCGGUGAAUGUAGAAGUACGUUAGGGGCUUGUUAUAAAUGUGGGGCCACUGAUCACUUUAUUCGUGAUUGUCCCCAAUUACAAGUAGAAGAAGUGGAACAGAGGGAGAAACAGAAAAUUCUUCCUCAAAAAGGAAGACGCUCUGGUCAGAGCAGUGCUACAGGGGCUACUCGUUCGGGUAUGAAAGAUACUGCUAGCCGAUCAGAAGUUAGGGCUCCUGCUCGUACUUAUGCCAUUCGAGCGAGAGAAGAAGCAACAGCUCCAGAUGUAAUUGCUGGUACUUUCUAUCUUUAUGAUGUUCCUGUGUAUGCUUUAAUAGACCCUGGGUCUACUCAUUCAUAUAUUUGCACUAUGUUAGCAUCUGAAAAGAACUUAUUUGUUGAGCUUACUGAUUAUGAUGUACAAGUUACAAAUCCGUUAGGUCAAAGUGUGGUAGUUAAUUUAAUAUGUCAUAACUGUCCACUGAAAGUUAAGGGCUGUGAUUUCCCCGCUGAUUCGAUGCUGCUACCCUUUCGUGAAUUUGAUAUUAUCUUGGGCAUGGACUGGUUAAUGAAACAUGAUGCGGUAGUGAAUUGUCGAGAAAAACUAAUUAGCUUGAAAUGUCAAACAGGAGAUAUUGUUUUGGUUGAGUUUGGGAAUUUGGAUGACAUGGUUAGAAUGAUUUCCUUUAUGUCUGCUCAGAAAUUGUUGCGUAAAGGAAAUGAGGCUUAUUUAGCCUAUAUUCUUGAUACUCGAAGUUCUAAAUCAAAGUUAGAGCAACUAUCUGUUGUAAAUGAAUUCAUGGAUGUAUUUCCUGAAGAAUUACCAGGUUUACCACCCGAUAGAGAAGUUGAGUUCGUGAUAGAUGUUUCCAGGAACAGCUCCCAUAUCAGUGACACCGUAUAGAAUGGCUCCAGCAGAAUUAAGAGAGUUAAAAGCGCAGUUACAAGAACUGUUAGACAAAGGGUUUAUCAGACCGAGUAUGUCACCAUGGGGUGCACCUGUCUUAUUUGUGAAAAAGAAGGAUGGUUCAUUGAGGCUGUGCAUAGAUUACAGGCAGCUGAAUAAGGUAACAAUUAAAAAUAAAUAUCCUUUGCCUCGUAUUGAUGAUUUAUUCGAUCAGCUUAAGGAUGCUACAGUGUUUUCAAAAAUAGAUCUCAGAUCUGGGUAUUAUCAGUUAAAGGUAAAGGAAUGUGAUGUACCGAAAACAGCUUUUAGAACUCGGUAUGGUCAUUAUGAGUUCUUAGUUAUGCCAUUCGGUUUGACAAAUGCUCCUGUUGCUUUUAUGGAUUUAAUGAAUCAAAUUUUCCAGUCUUACCUGGAUAGAUUUGUGGUUGUGUUUAUUGAUGAUAUACUGAUCUAUUCAAAGACAGAAUCCGAGCAUGCUCAGCACUUGAGAAUUGUACUACAGAUAUUAAGGGAAAAACAGUUAUAUGCAAAAUUUAGUAAAUGUGAAUUUUGGCUUCAUGAAGUGGGAUUCUUGGGUCACAUUGUGUCAGUUGAUGGUAUACGGGUAGAUCCGAGAAAGGUGUCAGCGGUGAUUAAUUGGAAAACUCCAAAGAAUGUUACGGAAGUGCGAAGUUUCCUUGGAUUAGCUGGUUACUAUCGUCGAUUUGUGAAAGAUUUUUCACUGAUUGCUUCACCGAUAACUAAAUUAUUACAGAAGAAUGUUGAGUUUGUAUGGUCUGAUGAGUGCCAACAAAGUUUUGAUCAAUUAAAGAAAAUGUUGACAGAGGCUCCGGUGUUAACUCAGCCUGAAUCAGGUGUGCCAUAUGUAGUAUAUAGUGAUGCAUCUCUGAAUGGUUUAGGUUGUGUAUUGAUGCAAUCAGGAAAAGUUGUAGCAUAUGCUUCUCGACAGUUGAAACCACAUGAGAGGAACUACCCUACACAUGAUCUUGAAUUAGCUGCCAUAGUAUUUGCUUUAAAAAUUUGGAGACACUACCUAUAUGGAGAGAAAUGUUAUGUGUAUAUAGACCAUAAAAGUUUGAAAUAUUUAAUGUCGCAGAAAGAGCUGAAUUUGAGACAGAGGCGAUGGUUAGAGCUGUUGAAAGAUUACGAUCUUAUCAUUGAUUAUCAUCCGGGUAAGGCAAAUAUAGUGGCAGAUGCACUUAGUCGGAAAUCAUCAUUAUUUGCUCUUCGGGCGUUAAAUGCUCAUUUGUCUGUUAAUGAAAAUGGUUCUAUAUUAGCUGAAUUAAAGACAAAACCAGUAUUCUUUCAACGAAUUCGGGAAUUGCAAGAUGAAGAUCCGAAGUUGGUGUUGAAACGACAAAUGGUUCGGGAUAAUUUGAACUUAGAUUACUCUAUUGAUAAUAGUGGUAUGUUAUACCAUCGUAAUAGAAUUUGUGUCCCGAGUAAUCUAGAAUUGAAGAAGGAUAUCUUAUCAGAGGCUCAUAGUAGUAUGUACUCGAUUCAUCCGGGUAGUACGAAGAUGUAUUGUGAUUUGAAGAAAAAGUAUUGGUGGCCUGGUAUGAAACGAGAAAGUUGUGAAUUUGUGGCAAAAUGUUUAAUCUGUCAACAGGUAAAAGCUGAACAUCAAGUGCCUACAGGUUUGUUACAACCCGCAAUGAUUCCAGAAUGGAAGUGGGAACAUGUGACGAUGGAUUUUGUAUCUGGAUUGCCAGUGACUCCGAAGAAAAAAGAUUCGAUUUGGGUGAUAGUAGACAGAUUCACUAAAUGAGCGCAUUUUAUUCCGGUCAGAAUAGAUUUUUCACUUGAUAAGUUAGCGGAAUUAUAUGUGUCAGAAAUUGUGAGAUUACAUGGGGUGCCGACAUCAAUUAUUUCUGAUCGAGAUCCGAGGUUUACUUCGAGAUUUUGGAAUAAACUACAGGAAGCUUUAGGUACUAAGUUAAAAUUUAGUACAGCUUUUCACCCUCAGACAGAUGACAAUCAGAGCGAGUGAUUCAGAUUUUGGAAGAUAUGUUAAGGUGUUGUAUACUCGAGUUCAGUGGCAGCUGGGAAAGGUACUUACCUUUAGCUGAAUUUGCUUAUAAUAACAGUUAUCAAGCUAGUAUCAAAAUGGCACCGUUUGAAGCUCUGUAUGGAAGGAAGUGCAGAACCCCAUUGUAUUGGUCAGAAUUAAGUGAAUCGAAAUUAGUCGGAGUGGAUUUAAUUCGGGAAACUGAAAAGAAAGUUCAGAUUAUUCGGGAAAGUUUGAAAGCUGCUUCCGAUCGUCAAAAGUCGUAUGCAGAUUUGAAAAGAAGAGAUAUAGAGUUCAAUGUGGGUGAUCGUGUGUUCUUGAAAGUUUCUCCGUGGAAGAAAGUUUUACGGUUUGGUAGAAAAGGAAAGCUUAGUCCACGAUUUAUCGGACCAUAUGAAAUCAUUGAGAGGAUCGGUCCGGUAGCUUAUAGAUUGGCCUUGCCUCCAGAACUUGAGAAGAUCCAUAAUGUAUUUCAUGUAUCUAUGUUGAGACGAUAUAGUUCAGACCCUUCACAUGUGAUUCCUCAUACUGAGAUAGAGCUACAAUCAGAUAUGACUUAUUCGGAGGAACCAGUGAAAAUAUUAGCUCGGGAAGUUAAAGAACUACGGAAUAAACAGUACCGUUAGUAAAAGUGUUAUGGCAUCAACAUGGAUUGGAGGAGGCAACCUGGGAAACAGAAGAGUCAAUGAGAUCACAGUAUCCAAAUCUGUUUUCAGGUAACAAAUUUUGAGGACGAAAUUUUUAAAGGGGGAGAGUUGUAACGGCCUAAUUUUCAGUGGUGUCGGAAAUGGUAACGACUUUUGCAAAUUAGUCCAGGUAAGUUCAUAUGGCAAAGUUCAAUGUUUUGAUAUGAAAAUCUUAUGAUUGUUAAAGUAUUUUAUUGUUGAUGAAUACUAUCAAUUUGCAUUAACUAAUGAAUAAUGUGUAACUAAAAGUACAAAUUAGUAGGAACAAUGGAUUUGAGUGCUUCUAUUCUGUGACCCUGAUGAAUUGAUGAAAAAUAUGUGAUAAGUGUGCCCGUUUAAGACCAUAGCUGGGCUAUGGCAUCGGUGCAAUGUGAUAAUAUGACUCCGUAUAAGACCAUAGCUGGGCUAUGGAUCGGUAUAAUGUGAUAAUGUGAUUCUGUAUAAGACCAUGUCUGGGAUAUGGCUUCGGUAUGAUAUGUGAACCGUGUAAGACCAUGGGAAGGCUAUGGCUUCGGUGUGUGAUGCGUAACAAUGUGAAAGUCCAUAGUUUACUAUAGCAAUGUGAUAAUGAAGCACUCAAUUCCCUUAUUGUUCCUUAAAUUGACAAUGAAGUAAAUGAGAAAUGGGCCUAAGGGAGUUAAAUUGUGAGUAGCCAUAUGGAAAUUAUUCCAAUGAGUUAUUAAUGAAAUUGUGAUUUGGAGGAUGAAAUAGUUAAACUAAUAGAUAUAAGAUUGUGUACGAUAUUUGAUAUGAUUUGUGUUUAUAUGCCUAUGAGCUUACUAAGCUUCAAUAAGCUUACUUGUGUGUGUUUAAUAUUUUUAUGUAGAUUGACUUGAAGUGAAGUGGGUAGAUCGGAUCAACACAACAGGGCACACUAUUCAGAUCAAUUCUGGUAGUUUUUGUUUUAUGUUUAAAGAUUUAUAUGGCAUGUAUAGAGUUUGAAUGAAUUGAAGUAAAGAUGUUAUGAACUAGUUAACAAUAUUUGUACUAAAAUAGUUUUUGGUAAGUAGCAGUAGUUUGACUUUGAAAAUUCACCAUAAAUUGUGGAAAUUGAGUUAAGGGCUGGAAAAAAAAAUGAGAUUAAAGCCUAAUGAGUCUAGUUUCAUAUAGAGGAAACGGUGCAUGCAAUUGGAUUUUAUGUUAUGAGAUAUUUAAAUUGUGGUGAGACAGAGUCUGAAUGACUUCGAGUUCCCCUGUUCUGAUUUUAGAAAAUCAUUAAAAAUUUCACAAAAAUAAUUAUGAGUCAUACUGUAUAUGUAUGGAUUCCUAAUUGGGUCUAUUUUUAAGAGAAACAAAUGGCAUGAUUAUUUGAAUUUUGUACAGAGAGAAAUUUGGUUCGUAGUGCACAGGGGUCAAAGUAGCCAAACCCUGAAAUAGGGGAGGAUUUAACUAAUAAACUGUACUAAUUGGACCAACCAAAAAUUAUAAAAAAAUUGGUAAGUAGAUAUAUGAGUAUAAAUUCGGGGAAAAUUUACGGAUUUGGGUUUCGAGUUUUAUAACUCGAGAUAUGAAUUAUUUAGCAACUAUGAUGCAGUUGGACAGCUUGUCUGAAAAGUAUGAUAUAAAUUAUCUAAAUUUGGUUAAGUGCUCAAAUAAGUUUAGUAGUGCCUUGUGCUCGACUCCGGCAAUGGUCUUGGGUAAGGGGCGUUACAGGAUGCGGGGGCGUCGAGGACGCCGAUGAGGAGUUCGAGCAGAGUCAUCCUCUAUGGGUAGUACGCCCAAUCUGGAGACCAGCGAGACUGUUGGACUCCCACUGCGGAGACGGAGUCCUAGACUCCAAUGGCUGGGGAUGACGAACUAUACCAGGCCAUGAUACAAGCACUGGAUAGGGUCGGUAGGACCCGUUCAAGAUCAAUAUAAGAAAAACCUUUUUACUUAAAUAAAAAGUAAUUAAAUAAAUAUAUUACAAAUAUAUAAAUAUAUGCAUUACACUUGUAUAAUUUAAUCACCAUACAUCUGUCUUUAUUUUAAUUUAUUUUCAAUAAUAAUAAUCAUAAUUUAUUAAUAUAAAUUAUAAUUUGAUAGAAUAAUAAUGAUAAAUAAUAAAUAUCUAUUUACUUAAAUAAAAAGUAAUUAAAUAAAUAUCUUACAAAUGUAUUCAUACUAUUAUUACAUUUGUAUAUUUUUAUCAUCAUACGCUUGACUUUAAUUUAAUUUAAUUCAUAAUAUGAUAUUUAUAAUUAAUUAGUUUAAUAGUUUAUUUUAUAAUUAAAUUAUAUAUAUUUACAUGAUUAAAAUCUAAAAAUAUCUUAGAUUUUAACAUGUUUGCCGCCUUAAGUUAUGCUAAAUGGCUUAUUUGCCAUUUUAGUCCUUUUUACUUUCUAUUAAUUUAUAAUUCAACUUUUACCCCCUUUUCAAUUUAAUCCUUUUUCCUAAUAAAUAUUUACGAACCCAUUUCGCUAAGACAAAGGCCCGAUAAUGUACUUUUUCAAUGCCCGUGAAUUUUGGGUCAUUAUACGGGAGGCUGCAGGUCAGUUACUGAACGACUCCAAUCAAAUGGGGCUGAAUUAUUCAGGGGUGUCUUAGGAGUCGCUCCCACUGUUUUUGAGUAUUGGCUCGAGGCUACCGAGUGUAUUAUGACAGAUCUUGAUUGUACUCCUACUCAGAAAUUGAAGGGUGCUGUGUCCCUACUCCGAGACGAAGCUUAUCAAUGGUGAUUAACCGUUGAGCAAGGUGCUCAACUUGAACAAGUGAUCUAGGACUAUUUCAAGAACGUCUUCCAGGGUAAAUAUGUGGGGGCGAGUUAUGUCGAGGCUCGCUGACGUGAGUUUAAGGGUCUAGUUUAGGGUGACCAGUCUGUGGCUGAAUAUGAAGUUGAGUUUCUGCGACUGAGUAGAUAUGCACGGACUUUAGUAACGUCUGACUAUAAUACGUUUGUGUGAUUUAAGGAGGAAUUGAGGUAUGACCUGCGAGUCCUGAUAGCUUCUCAGAGAAAGUGAGUUUUCGCGAUUCUGAUUGACAAAGCGAAGAUAGUGGAAGAAGUGAAGCGCACUGAGCGUGAGCGUCGUGAUCAUGAGAAGGAUCAGAAUAAGAUUAAGAGGGAUUCGUGUCCCUCUGGUCCUUGUCAGCGCCCUAAGAAACGGGCGAGAAUUCAUAGGCCCUUGAGGGUCGAGACAUCAAUGGUGACGAUUGAGAUUCAACUGUGCAGUGAUUGUGGGAAACACCAUCUGGGCGAGUUUGGAGGAAAAUGGGAGCAUGUCUCUAUUGCGAUUCGAUGAAACAUCGUGUUAGGGAUUGCCCCCGUCGACUUGAUUCAGUGCCAACUACGGUACAGAUUUCGGCUCCAAAUUCUGUUCAACUUCUAAGAGAGGUUCAGCAACCAUUCCGAGGUCGUGGCACUGGUAGGGGUGGUAAUGGGUCUAGAAGAGGACAAAUGACACUGGGUAGAGGUGCAGAUCAGGCUGAGGCUCGUCAGCUGACUCUGGUUUAUGCGGCGAGAUGCUGUAAAGAGAGCGAUUAUGCUAAUGUCAUUGUAGGUACCUUCUUUAUUCAUUCUGUUCCGUAUUAUGCUCUCAUUGAUAUUUGCUCUACUUACUCGUAAAUAGCUAGUGUUGUUUGUGUAAAUCUGGGUUUAACUGCUGAAAAUACUGUUAAAGAGGUUUUUAUGAUUAGUCCACUAGUCAGUCCGAGUUGAUAGAAUAUACAAACGGAUACCUCUAGAACUUCAGGGCAUGGUAUUUCCAGCUAAUUUAAUGGAAUUUCCCUUUAAUGAGUUUGACUUGAUUUUGGGAGUGGAUUUUCUUAUUGAGUAUCGGGUCAGUCUAGAUUGUGGAACUAAGAGGGUUACUCUAAGACCAACUGAGAAUGACGAGGUGGUUAUGGUUGGUGAGCACCGAGAUUAUCUCUCUAAUGUAAUCUCUGCUCUUGUAGCUGAUAAGUUAGUUCGAAAGGUUUGCGAGGCAUACAUUGCUUACGUAUCUAAUUCUACUCCCGAAAAGCUUCCAGUAGGAGAUAUUUGCACUGUAAAGGAAUUUCUAGAUGUUUUUCCAGAGGAAUUGCUAGGUGUACCCCCGAAGAGAAUGGUGGCGUUUGGAAUUGACCUGUUACCAGGUACUGCUCCAGUGUUUAUUGUGCCUUACCGCAUGGCACCAAAGAAACUGACUGAAUUAAAGUACAACUUCAAGAACUCUUUGAUAAAUGAUUUAUUUGACCGAAUAUAUCUCCGUAGGGGGUACAGUAUUAUUUGUUAAGAAGAUGGAUGGGUUGAUGAGAAUGUGCAUUGACUAUAAGCAGUUGAACAAGUUGACAAUCAAUAAUAAGUAUCCGUUACUGAGGAUUGAUGACUUGUUCGACCAGUUUCGGGUAGCGUCUGUCUUUUUUAAAAUUGACCUACACUCGGGUUACCAUCAGCUCAAGGUCAAAGAGACUGAUGUGUACAAAACUGUGUUUAGGACUCGUUAUGGACAUUACGAGUUUUUGAUAAUGCCUUUCAGAUUAACGAAUGCCCCGGCGGUGUUUAUGGAUUUAAUGAAUCGAGUGUUUCAAUCGAGUGGUUUUCAUCGAUGAUAUCUUGAUCUACUCUAAAAUGGAAACUGAGCAUGUUUAUCAUCUUCGUAUUGUACUUCAGAUACUCCGAGAAAAAUAGUUGUAUGCCAAGUUUAGUAAGUGUGAGUUUUGGUUGCAAGAAGUCGUAUUUUUGGGUCAUAUGGUGACGGCGGAGGUGAUCCAAGUUGAUCCCAGGAAAUCCUAAGCUGUUGUUGAGUGGAAACAGCUGAAAAAUGUAUCUGAGCUUCGUAGCUUCUUGGGUUUAGUUGGGUACUACAAAAGGUUUGCGGAAGGGUUUUCCCUAAUUACGUCACAUUUGACGAAGCUGUUACGUGAGAAUACUCCAUUCGAGUGGUCUGAAUCAUAACAAUUUAGUUUUGAUAAACUCAAGUCCAUUCUGACACAAGCUCCUAUCUUAGUUCAACCGGAAUCAAGUCUGGAGUUUGUGGUUUACGGUGAUGCUUCACAUGUCGAGUUAGGAUAUGUGCUUAUACAAGACGGUAAGGUGGUCAUUUACGCAUCACGACAACUUAAGACACACGAGGGUAACUACCCUACGCAUGAUCUUGAACUAGUUGCAGUUAUGUUUGCUUCGAAAAUUUAGAGACACUAUCUGUAUGGUGAAAGGUUGUUAUAUAUACCGAUCACAAGAGUCUCAAAUACUUGUUUACUCAAAAAGAGUUAAACCUUCGUCAGCACUGAUGGGUUGAGUUACUUAAAGACUAUGAUUGCACCAUAGAAUACCAUCUAGGGAAAGCUAAUAUGGUAACUGAUGCCCUUAACCAUAGAGCAAUGACUCACCUGAGAGCAAUGUUCGCUUGUUUGAGUUUGGUUGGGGAUAGAGGACUGUUGGCAGAAUUACAGGUUAGAUCGAGUUGGGAAGAGCAGAUUCGAGCUAAACAGCUGAAUGAUGGGACCUUAGUGCAGCAAUUGUGACAUGUGGGUUCAAACGAGAAUUUCGAUUUUAGCUUGAAUAGUGAUAGUGUGUUAUGCUUCAAAGGGCAGAUUUAUGUACCCAAUGAUUAGGAGUUAAGGCAUCCAAUCCUACAAGAGGCGCACAACAAUCCCUAUGCUAUACAUCCUGGAAGUAACAAAAUGUAUCAAAAUCUCUGAGAACUCUACUGGUGACCCGGAAUGAAAUAGGAGGUAGUAGCUUUUGUGUCCUACUGCCUGACGUGUCAAAAGGUUAAGACAGAACAUCAGUUGCCAUCCAAGUUGCUUCAACCAGUUAAAAUUCCUCAGUGGUGGUGAGAGCGGAUAACAAUGAAUUUUGUUACGAGGUUGCCUUUAACCCCAACUAACAAAGAUUUGACUUGGGUCAUCGUUGAUCGAUUGACCAAAUCAGCCCACUUCCUCCCUAUUCAAACAGAUUACUCCUUACAAAUGUUAGCUAAACUGUAUAUCGCCGAAAUUGUGAUAUUACAAAGGAUUCAUGUCUCAAUCAUCUCGAACAGAGAUCUACAAUUUACUUCUCGAUUCUAGAAGAAACUAUAUGAGACCUUAGGCACCCGACUUAAUUUGAGCACUACGUAUCACCCCCAGACUGAUGGACAGUCGGAGUGAGUUAUUCAGAUCUUAGAGGAUAUGAUCCGAGGUUGCGUGAUAGACUUCAAGUGUAGUUAGAAGGAGUACCUGCCAUUGGCCGAGUUUGCAUAUAAUAACAACUUCCAGUCUAGUAUUCACACAGCACCCUACGACGCCUUAUAUGGCUGUAGGUGUCGUUGAUGGUCGCUAAGCUAACUAAAAAUUCGACUAAGGCAAGCGCUCCUAUCAAACAGUAGUAUAGUUAUGGUGAGACCGGAAAUAUCGUAUCCACAAGGACUAAAAGUACUAGUAAUUACUAUCUUUUUAUUAUUUAGCCUAACAAUUAAAAGAAUGUUUUAAUUAAGACUAAUUAUCUAAUUAACUAAGAUUACGACAGAGAUAAAAGUUGAAAAAUAUUGUUUAGAAAACAGAUGUAGAAGACAAUACCCAAAAAAGAAUCCACCUAGACUUCACUUAUUAUUUCUGAAUUAGACGAUUUAUUCAUUUGACUUAAUUCAUAGAAAUCUCUAAUUUAUGUUAAUAUCUCUCUCGAGAUUAAAAACAACUGACUCUAGGUUGAUUAAUCAAAAUCUCUUUCUAAUUAAAACCCUUAUUGUCGCAUUAACUCGAUCUAUGAUUCCCUUAUUAGAUUUGACUAUAAUCCGACAAAUUUAUGUCGUCCUAUCUCUAAGAUUGCAUGCAACUCGGCUUAAUUUUGGGGGAUCUACUCUUAAACAGGGACUUUUGCUCCACUGAAUAAGCACAUCAAAACCUAAAUUAAUAUCCUGAAAUAUUAAAGCAAGGAUUAAAACUCACAAUUAAGAAUAAGAACAAAUAUUUAUCAUAUAAUGCAAAUAAUAAUAAGAUCCGUCUUAGGUUUCAUCUCUCUUAGGUAUUUAGGGAGUUUAGUUCAUAAUAAGGUAAAACAUCUCAAAGUUGGGAAAACAAAAAAACAUAAAGAAACCCAAAGAACUUUUAGGGAAAUUGAAUAGAGAUCUUCAGUCUUGAAGUAGAUCCUGCUUCCGAGCUACUUCCAAUGGCUAUCAUUGAGUAUUUUUUGCCUUCUACUCUCCAUGUCCCUUUUAAUCCUCUUUUUCGGUGUUUAUAUAGACUUUGGAUUGCUUUAAAACCCUCUAAAUUAUCCUUUUCCGAGUAGAAUUAGACUUGGGCUCGAUAGGGACAUGGCCGUGUGCCACGCCUGUAUGAAGGUGCUCAAACCGUAUGUAAUUCUGAGUUAGUUUUUAGUUGACACAGCCAUGACACACGGGCAUGCGGCCUGCCCGUGUGCCUCGUACGGGCGUGUGGUUUACCCGUGUGGAAGUGCCUAGGCCGUGUGAAAUACUGAGAUAAGCCCAUUUUGUCCGUUUUUGGCCCGUUUCUUGCUCUUUUCACCUUCCUUUGCUCACCUAAGUAUAAAACUUGAAUUUAAAGGAUUAGGAGCAUCAAAUUCAUUAAAUCUUAUGUUAAAUCAUUCAAAAAUAUGCCAGGCAUAGGAUAAAAAUAUGUAUAUAUUAUGGUUUAUCAGUCGUAUUCCGUUAUGUUGAACUGAAUUAAGUGAACGUCGGGUAUUGGGUCCUGAACAGGUUUCUGAGACUGAGAACAUAGUGAAAGUGAUUUGUGAUCAUUGAAAGUAGCCUCUAAUAGACAAAAGUCUUAUGCAUAUAGUGAAAGUGAUUUGUGAUCAUCUGAAAGUAGCCUCUAAUAGACAAAAGUCUUAUGCAUACUUGAAAAGAAAGGAUAUUGAAUUUUUGAUAGGUGACCAGGUGUUUCUGAAAGUAUCACCUUAGAAGAAGGUUCUCUGAUUUGGGUGCAAGGGUAAGCUGAGCUCGAGAUUCAUUGGACCAUACCGCAUUCUGAAGUAGGUCGGACCUGUUGCAUAUCAGUUGGAGUUAUCGUCGAAACUAGAACAAAUUCAUGAUGUAUUCCAUUUUUCAAUGUUGAGAUGGUAUAGGUCAGAUCCGUCAUAUGUUGUUAUUGUCGACGAGAUUGAAUUGCAACUGGACUUAACUUUCGAGGAGCGGGACAUCAGGGUGCUGAGGAAGAAAUCUAUUCCUCUAGUGAAAGUUCUUUGGCGAAACAACGGUACUGAGGAAGCCACGUAGGAACUGGAAGAAUCAAUUCGACCACUAUAUCCGUAUCUGUUUGAAUCAAUUAAAAUUUCAAGGCCGAAAUUUCUUUUCGGGGGAGAGAGUUGUAACGCUCCAAAAUUUUAAGAAUUUAAUUGUAAGAUUGUGUAGUAAUUAAUUUCUGUAUCUAUGUUUAUGUGCUCUGCUUCUGUGUUUAUGGUCUGGAGUUCGAAUUGCAUCAUUAAAAGUUUUUGGUUCGUUUUGAAAUCAACCCAUAAGCAUGCAUUACCCGCUUAAGUUCGAUUCAGUGUGAAAUUGUGACCAGAAUGAGCCUGCUGCUUCACUGGUUAAGCAUCUGUCUGUAUUCUGUCUAGUUCCGAGUUAACAAAUCUUACUUAACAUACCUCCUAAGCUUAUCCAUAUAUCUUUACAUACUAAAACUUAUACCUUUCCGAGCACAUACAAUGCCUACGGACCCAAAUAUUGAAUCCUUCAAAUAGCCCUUAAUUAAGCCCAAAAAUUGGCUAAAAGUGCCCACACGACCCAAAAAAAUAGCUCGUGUGGUCCACACAGUCUACCACUUGGUCUGCAAAAAUCUCACAUCGUCGUGUGUCCCACAUGGCCUACCACACUAGCUAUGAAAUCACACACGGUCAUGUGCACCACACGGCCUACCACAUGGUCGUAUGUCAUUAGGAAACUCUAAAAAGUAGCCCUGUUAUGCACAUUUUCUGAAUUUCCAAUGAGUUUUUCACGUUAGAUCACAAUCCUGAUUGUUGAGUUGAUAAUCUAUACAACUAACACACUUCAAAACCUGCGAUAAACGUUUAAAUGGACUGAUGACAAUAUAAUUAAAUAUCAUAAUCUCAUUCAAAAACACCCAUUUUCCUUUAAAGAAACCAUCCCAAAAAUCAGCAUUCAGAUACUUACUCCACAAAAGCAUCGAACAUAAUAACAACCACACUGCUAGAGGAUUUGAUUCACAACUCUUUCGCCUAACAAGAACACGAAAAUACUAAUCACAUCAUGGAAUGAAAAUUAUACUAACACAACUCCACCUGAAUAAAAGAAUGAACUAAAAAUAGAAUAUCAGAAAAAGAUAAUUAGACGAAACUUACACUAUGAACAAACUACACUCCAGGAGAAAAUAUCACAUAUGACCACUGGUAGAAAUGGAACGACAGCAAACAAAAAUCAAAGAAGAAUGAGAAAAAAAAAGAAAGAAAAAGAGAAAAAAAUUGAAAAGAAGGGGAGAAAAAAUGUGAGAGUGGGAAGUGGGAGAGAUAAUUCAUAACUACCCACACGCCACUAAUUAACCACCCACGAGAUUCCCUCAUAGUUUAAAACAAAAAUAAUUUUCAUUUUGCACACACAAGGACUCAAACACGGGAUCAAAAGGUAAGCUAAAACCUUUCCAUAAAACUAGCGAGCUAAUUCUUAUCCACAAUCAAGUGAAAGUAAUUUAUAAACCAUAUGUUCAAAUAUAGAGGUUUAGGCAAAAAUAGCAAAAUUUUAAAGAAAUAAAUUUGAACACAAGACCUCACACACACAAACACUGCACUUAACUACUAAACCAAAUCAAUUCAUUUGUUAUAAUUUUCAUAAUCUUAACUAAAAAUUCGGAUGUAACCACUCAUGGUUUCACUAACUCAGUUUUUUCUAACCCGAUCUUUGGAAUGUGACAGCGAGUGUAAUUAUAUUAAUUAGAUUGGGAAAAUAUAUUAUUUGUCUGUCAUUUUAACAGAUGCUUGGUGCGCAUUUGUUUUAAGUGAUUGCAGUAGAAAUUGAUUUCCAUUUUAGCAACAUUAUCCAAUUAAUUAAUUGCCUUUCAAAUUCUAAAAAUUCAGAAAUUCCCUUGUUAUUAUUUUGAUUUGAAUAAAUAAUCCAAAUUGACAAUGGAAACUUAAAUGAAAAUUUAAUCCAUUUUUACCAUGAAAAAUUAAAACCGAUUUUAUAUAAGCUCAAAAUGAUAAGCACAUAAAAUAUUGAAGAGAACUAGGAUGAAAAGUUGGCGUUAAUGGAGCAAAAUGAGAAAGAAAAGUGUGGAUUUUGGGGAAGGGAGGUGUGAAAAUAUAUUAAUUUUAACAAUUUUAAAACAUAUUUUUUAUAAAUUUUUUUAGUAUCCUAUUAUAUAUAUUCUUCAUAAAUUUUAAUAAUUGUGUUGCCAGAAAAGUUUUCAAUGAUUUUCUUUUUCUUGUUAGAAAGAACACUACAAAUUAUUUUACUUACUAAAUCUUUUAAAAAUUUAGGUUUCUUUGCUAUUCCAAAUAGAUUUUAAAAAUUUUGUCAAUUAAAUAUUUUUUAUAUAUAAAAUAAUAAUUCUCUUCAUUUUUAUAACUUAAUUUUCAAAUUUAUUCUCAAUGAUGUUUUGGUUAGUAGAGAGUAAGAUGUUUUGGCAACUUUAAGAUGAUGUUUUUUUUGGUGAAUUACAAGGGGGGAAGCCCUAACAGCAACACAAUUAGCGUGACCUAAACCCAGGUUACACUUGAGGCGGUCAACACCCUUACCACCAAGCUAACACAAGAGGUUUAUGUAACACCCCUAACCCGAAUCUGAUCGCCGGAUUAAGGCUAAGAGGUAUUACCGAACUAAACAUUUAAUUAUCUCAUUCACAUUGUCAAUAAACAUAAACAGAGAUCGAGCUGAAAUACAUACUGAUAUUUAAGUUAUACGCCAUUUUUGUAUGGCCAAAAUAUUUACAAUUUCAAAACAUCGUUAUCAUCAGCCUAACCUAUACAUGCCAUAUCGAGUCCAAAAUAUAACUGUACCCAAAAAGAUCGAUAGUGUGAUGAACUGCUGAUGAUCCCCGAGUCGGUGGCCAAAAUCAACAAUCUAUAAAAUAGGGAAAUAAAGAACAGAGUAAGCUUUCAAAGCUUAGUAAGUUUUAAGCAUCACAAACAAUUAAAGACUUAUCGAAAAUCGAAACAUUCAUUUAAACAGACUUAUUCUCAAUUCAAAUUGCUUCAUGGCCAAAUACACAUAAACAUAUACAUAGAUUUCUCAGCACAUAUUUUUCUUCUACUUAAAGUUCAUACGAUGCAUUUAAAUCAAACAAUCUCAUAUAUUAACAACAUUUGACCGAAUAGAUCAUUGUUUUACUCGAAGAAGAUAUAACAAUCAUUCACACUUAAGUAUCAUUCUUUAAUGCUAAUAAUUCACAAAAUCAUUGACUGAACGUACAUGAGUACAUAAAAAAUUUUAACAUAUAAUUCAUAUACAAAUAUACCAUGACCGAUUAAAUCAUUCUCAUAUUCGUAAAUAUAACCAUCAAUCAUAUUUAUAUAUAUAUUCUUCUUUGAUGUUAAUGAUUCACUUCGAAAUCAAUUCACCGAUGAGUAAGUAAUACGUACCUGAACAUCUUAAAUGUAUAGCACUUACUCGACGAUGGUUUACUGCGAACAUUCAAUAUCGUAAUCUUACUUAACUUACUGGCAUUAAGCUUGUCAGGUCUUAGAACUUGAAACCAAUUACCAGCACAAGCCUGCAAGAAUUUAAACCCGGUAUAAUACCAGCUCGAAGCCUGCGGGACUUUAGCCCGGACAUAUUUCCAGCACGUAGCCUGCGGACCUUAAGUCCGGUUAUAAUUCCAGCACAUAGCCUGCAGACCUUAAGUCCAGAUAUAAUUCCAGCACAUAGCCUGCGGACCCUAAGUCCGGAUAAACAUCACUGAAUGUCAUGCAUACUUAUUCGCAAGAAAACUCAAUUCACAUAACAUCUCACAAUCAUAGUUCAUUUAUUCCAUUCGAAUAAUAGCAUAACAUGGGCACCAUUCAUAUAACUUUUGGCUCAAUAACAUACAUAAGAAUAUAUGUCCAUUUUACUUUCUAAGUUUAACUUCUAAUGUCUAUUCGGCUUUAAGCCUUAAACAUAAAUUAUUUGUCACUCAACUAUAUUCAAAUAGAAUCAAUAGAUCGCAGUGCAGUUAUCAUACACAUAUCAAGACAUUAUCAAUUACGUACUAAAUGUGGCUAUUCAAAACUUACCUCGGAUAUACUUGAACGGUUACAGAAAGGCUACUCAAUUACUUUCUGUUUUCCCCUAUCCAACUUCGACCCUCUUUGCUCUUGAGCUUAAUUAAAACAAAUAGAUUUGUUUAAUUACUUAACCAAUAUUAUUUACUUAUUAAUCACAUUCGGCAAUCACAUAUCAAAUUCAAUAUGUAUUAUAAUUUAUAUAAAUAUGCCAUGAUUCAAAUUUCAUAUUUAUUUAUAACCGAAAAUGGCAAGAACUUAUCAAGCCAUGAAAAUCACUUAUAGCUCAAACACAAAAUGAUCAUAUAACCCUAAUGACCGAUUAUUCAACUUAUACCUAGUUCACAUACACAAGCAAAACUCACAUAGCUUAUCUUGCUUUCUUAUACACAAAUUUAACUAUCGCAAAUAUUUUAUCAAGAAACACCCUAAUCAUUUUAGCCAAAUUUUCUAUUACCAAAUAAAUCACAUAUAUAUAACACUACUCAUUACACAUAUACAUCAACUAUAAAAAAUUCUCACUCCUUAGCUAUUGCCGAAUGCUUAUAUAAGUCUUGAGUCAUCUUUAACACAUUUAUCAAUCUUCUAAUUCAACUUAAUACAAAAAUAAUAUCAUUUAAACAGCUAACACCAAAACAUUUGUUCAAAUGGACCUAGCCGAAUACCCCACUUAGCUAAAUGAUUCACACAAAUCACUAAUAGCCAACUCAAAUUCAUCCUUAAUUUCUCCUAUAACGAAAUUCAUCAAAAUUUAAUAAGAAAAUAAAUCAAAUUCCAUGACCGAAUUUGCAUUUAUAAUAAAACAAAAUCCUUGCAUCUCGUCAAUAUGUCUAAUUGCAAAAUUGCUUAAUUCAUCACCUAAGCAACAUGAAACUCCAUUACAAUCACAAUUAUUCAUUCCUUAAAACCAACAUUCAACUAUCAAUAAUUUAGCAAAACUCAUGUAAAUGGCUGAAUGCUAUAUCCUCAACCAAAACUAAAGUUUUUACAUGGGCUACGUAGGAAACUAUGUAAUUAACUAAAUUUUCACAAGAAUUUGAAGAUAGCACAUGAAACAUUCCUUAAUUUGGAUGCUAAAAUAGCCGAAAGUUUGAUCUCUCCUAUCCCCUCUUUUUUUUUUUUUAAGAAAUCGGCAAUGAAGAACAAAAGUAAUUAACCUUGUUGUUUUCACCCAUUUACUUAUUUUAUUAUAAUAUAAAAUUGUUAUUACAUAUUAUAAUACAUUUAUAUAUAUAAAUACAUAUAAAAUUUAUAUUUUUUCAACUACUAAACCACAUGGCCGGCCACUAUGAAAAAAAAAUGGCAAUUUGACAUGCAUAUCCUUAUGAUUUUUAAACUAUAUAGAAAUAAGCCAUCACAUAAAUACCUAGCACAUUUUCAAAAUUCUCACACAAGUCCCUUUCAAUAAAUUUCAAUCAAAGCACCACAAAUUCACAUAUGCAUUUUCACACAAAUUAAGCACAAAAUUUAACAUUCAAUUAUUUUCACAAUUCGGUUUAGUGGUCCCGAAACCACUUCCCGACUAGGGUCAAAUUAGGGCUGUCAUAGUUUAACUUUAAGGUCAUGUUUAAUUAUUAGUAUGUGUGGAUUUGGUAUUUGUAAUUAAAUCUAUCUUGUGUUAAGGUUUUAAAUAUUAAUUCUAUCUUAAAUAUUUUGUUUUUUUGAAUAUUUAAGAAUAUAAAAUUAAAAACCAAAAAAAGAAGAAGAAGAAGCAACCUUCUACUUUAAUAGUGGAAAAUAAAUACAUAGCCUUUUUGUUAAUUUAAAAAAAAAAACUCUCUUCUCUCUCAUCAAUAUUUAUCUUCAUUCUCUUUUCUUUAGUAAGUUGUUUUACUUCCUUGUUCUUCUUUGUUUUGCUAUUUUGAAACUUUUAAUGCUUCAAAUCUUUCUCUUAUAAAAUAUACAUUUUAUAUUGAUUUUUGAAAAUAUAAUUUUUUUUAAAAUUAAUUUAAUGUUUUUAAUUAUUGCAUUAUGUUGAAAUAUUAACAGAUAGAGAAAGAACACAUGAACCUCAUAGAAUCAAAGAAGAAAGAAUAUCAAAGAGAAGAAAGAAAUAAAGAUUUUUUAACUAAGUUCAACAUGAAUACAAAGAACCUACAUCCAUAUUAUUUAUACUAAGCUUUAACAAGGAAGAUUGAGUAACAACUUGAACCAACUAACUCAAUAACUUACUAACAACCUAAUUACUACAGGAGUUCAUUUUGCUUAACUUCUACUGCUGCUCAUUCCUUAACAUUCAUUGAACCUCCUGGUUGCUAUUGAAGCUUGCGAACAACUCAAUUACGAACACCUUGAUUGCUACAAUUUAAUCCUUAACAUGCACUACACAUUCUGACUGUUGAAACUGUGAAUACCUGGCUCAUGAACAAGCAACUAGUCACUCUUGUAAACCAUCUUAAGUCUAGCUCGAACAAAAGACAAAUCAAGUUCCCCAUGUUUGAACUUUGAGUGUAAAACAUGAUUUGCGGAAAAUGUAACACCCUUAACCUGUAACUGUCUCCGAAAUAGGGUUACAAAGAAUUACCAAAGUUUACAAAACAUUUCUAGAUGAACUGAAGUCAUUUACUAUUAAUUUUCCGAGAAUAAUCAUAACGUCCCUUGAAUGGACCUUCGAGGCCAAAAACAUGCAUUAGAAAUGAAUUGGGACUAAACCAGAAACUCUGAGAAAUUUUCCUGAAAUUUUAAAAUUUUCUUAGGUACAGGGCACACACGCCUAUGUGGUCAAGCCGUGUGGCUCACACAGCCGAAUGACAUGCUCGUGUCGUAGGCCAUAUGCUACUUGAGUAGGGCACACGCCCAUGUCCCUAGCCCGUGUAAUUCUCUGUCUUAUAAUUUAUUUUAGGCGCAGGGGUUACACAGCCAAGUCACAUGCCCGUGUGUCAGGCCGUGUGUAACACAUGGUCAAGACACACGCCAUGUGUCUACCCGUGUGGACAAAAUAAGGCUAUUUUCCAAGCCUUAUUUCUCACCUAUUUAGUCUUCCAUCUACACCAACACUUAAACACAUUCAAGGUCCAAUUCAAGACAUUUAACCAAGCCCUAAUCAAGUUUUAUGUUUCAUAUAUCUUCACCUAUAUUCAUAUAUAUGCAAGUUUACUUAUUUCUUCCAUUUCAUAGAUAAGCAUAAUUUAUCAACUUAGUUAUAUCAUUCAACUCAUCCAUGUGUUUACCUCUAUUUACUAUUUACACUCUCAUAUCAUUAACAUAUUAAGACUGUAUAUAGAUGUACGUCUCAAUAUAUCAAAAACAAGCCAUAUCAAUGGCUAGUUACAUUCAUAACAUGUUAUAUACCAACAUUGGUUAAUUAACCUAUACAUGCCAUUAUAACCGUAAUUGAUUUACCAUUCAUACCAAGAUGGGCCGAUGGAUAGUGUGAGUGAUCUCCUCUAAUACUUCCAAUCCCUCGAGCUUCCGAAUAAUUAUAGAGCAAAGGAAAAUAAUUAUGCUUAGUAAGCCUGUAUAACUUGGUAAUUAACUCACCAUUCAUUAUUACUCACAAUAAACAUGUAAAACAUAUUCAGUCAAUUUGAUCACGAGCCCUACCACACAUCCUCACCACCUUUGUUAGUCAUAUAAUUAAUAUAUAUAUCGGGAAACAUAUAUGGGCACAUCAUUCAUUAGAUUUCAAUAUGCAUGUGUUCAUAUAACAUAUUCAAGACAUACCCUUGUAAUUCAAGUAUGUUUUUAUAAUAAUUUGCCUUGAAUUCAGAUUAUUUCGUGUCGAAAAUUUGCCAUUAAAUCAUAUGAAAUAUCUUUAUCAUAUGAUUAAUAUGCUUGAGGCUUACAAUUCUAUACUCAUGAAUGAAUACUUUGAUCAAACAACUUCCAUGUUUGUAUAUCAUCAUCUCAUAUUUCCAUAUAUCAUUUAUUAUCAUUUUCAUGUAUUUUCAGGCAGGUACACGUACUAAUUCAUUUCAUGUUCAUAUUUUUCUCAUAUCAAGAUUUUGCCUGUUGAAUUUAGUAGAAAUAUCGAUGGAUACUCUCAUGUAGUACACUUUAAGUGUACAAAACUCUCGAGCCACCUUUUCAAGUCAUUCGGGAAAAUCACAUACUUCGAUGCUCACACAGAGCUACGGUAGUCCACAACAUAUGUAGAAUUACUACCAAUCUCCACACUUAUACCUCGAUGCUCACACAGAGCUACGGUAGUCCCCAACAUAUGUGGAAUUACUACCAAUCACUAUAUUUGUAAAACUUUAUAUCAUAAUGCUCGAGAGACUUACCAGGAUUACUCGUCCGAGCUAAAUCCUGUCUGCAACACAUGCAGAAUCACCUUUACACUAAUCCAUCGAAAUUUCCUUCAUUCAACCGGGACUUAUUCCUUUUCUUAAGUCAUGUUGAACAUACGAUCAUAUAUUUUUAUAUAUUAAAUAUUCAAAACACCUAUUUCAAGUAUAUAUUUAUAACUUUUUUCAUUUAAUCGGAACUUAAUACUUAUAAAUCAUCAUUGGAUAUGUAAUUAUUUUCAGACACAUGACAAUAAUACAAUCACAUACACAACACUUAAUUCAAACAUAUAUUUAUAACAUUUUUUCAUUUAAACAAGGUUUAACAUUUAUCAAGUAUAGUCGGGCAUGUGAUCAAUUUAUACAUAAAGCAUUCAUACAAUUCACACAUACAACAUUUUUCAAGCAUAAAAUAUUCUCAAUUUGGUUAAACGAACUUACCUCGACAAAUGUUCGUGUACAUAAUAUCUACUAAACCUUUAUUUUUCUCUUUUCCUUGUUCUAACUCCAAAUUUGAUCUUCCCGAAUCUAUAUUAAUAAAUUCAACAUAAAUUCAUGUUUAUUUCAAUUCAAUUUAUAUCUUUAUAAAAUUACUAUUUUGACCCUAACUUUUUAAUAAAUAACGAUUUCAUCCCUAAGCUCGGAAAAUAAAAUUCAUGCAAUUUAUUCUUUGUUCCUAGCCUAAAUAUUUAUAUAUAUAUCAAUAUCAGCCCUUGAAUUCCAUGAAAUUUCAUAAUUUUCCAUAAAUUCAACAACUUUACAAUUUAAUCCCUAAAUCAUGAUUUCACUUAAAAUUCUUUAAUAAAAUACCUUUACAUAUCCAUUAACAUCUCAAUUUCAUCAUCAAAUAACUAAAAUAAUAUGAACUUAUCAAUGGUAUCUUCCAAAAAUUCCAAAAAAUAAAAAACUAAUGAAAUAACAAGUUGGACCUAAUUGUAAAAGUCCAAAAACAUAAAAAUUUCAAGGAAAAAGAAAGAAUUGAACUUACUUGAAGCUAAAAUAUGAAAUACCAGCUCAAACCCUCUUCAAUGGCCAUUUUUGACAGAAAAUUGAUGAAGAAAAUGUCUAGAAACUAUUAAAAUAACAUUUGCCCAUAUAAACUUUAUUUUAAUUCCAAUUUUGUCCCUAAUCACAUAAAUAUAUUUGAUUUUUUUCACGUUAUGCCACCUCAGCCGUUUAAGAUGGUAUAUUUUCCCUUUUAGUCCUCCUUUAUUUACUAUUAAGCUAUUUAAUUACUUUAGCAAGUUUUGCACCUUUUUUUUAAAAAAUUUAGUCCUUUUUAAUUAAUUGACUACUGAAACGUUAAAAUUUUUUGAUGAAACUUUAAUACUACCAUUGACACUCCGUAAAUAUUUAUAAAAAUAUUUAUAGCUCGUUUUAUAACACCAAGGUCUCGAUAUCUCUUUUUCUGAAUUAAUUGACCUAAUAAUUUUUUAUAAACACAAAUUUACUAAUUCAAAAAUCUUUUAAAAACCACAUUUAACUCAUAAGUAUUAAAUAAUAAAAUUUAUGAGUUCAUUUACCGAAUUUAGUGGCCUCAAACCACAGUUUCCGGCAUCACUGAAAUUCGAGCUAUUACAAAAACUAUUGCCCCAAAGUUAUCACACCAAGCAAACUACCUUUGCCACAAUUGGAUCCUGCAACUCAGACAACAAAGAUUCUAACCAUGCUAUUUCAAUAGUUUCAUGUACAAGACUCCUAUACUCAGCUUCUACUAUGGACCACGAAACAACUUGUUUCUUUUUAGACGCCCAAGAGAUUGGAUUGGCUCUUAGAAACACAAAACCCCAUAGUAGACUUCCUAUCACCCGAAUUAGUACCCUCAAUUUGCAUCAGAAUAACCAACAAAGGACAAACGAGAACCAAUAGUGAAUGAGAUUCCAUAAUCUAAAGUAGCACAAAGAUACCUUAGAAUAUGUUUUACAACCUUAAAAUGUUGAUCUAAAGGUUUGUGCAUGAACUGACAAACCUUGUUGACAAGAAAAGAAAUAUCAGGCCUUAUGAUAACUAUAUAUUGAAGAGAUCCCACGAUACUUCUGUACACAAAUUCAUCCUCCAUGGAGCUGUCUACAUGUGCAGCCAAACUGUAAGACAUGUCUAUAGGGUGGGAGAACCUUUUGCCUGAUUGAUAUGAUUCUUCCUCAAUAAAUCAUCUAUGUAUUUCCUUUGAGAAAGAAACAAACCAAUAAAAGUAUAAGAUACCUCUAUACCUAAUAAGUAACUUAAUUUUUCAAGUUCUGAACAAACUCAUCAAUACCAGUCUGACUACUACCAGUGAUAAUUAUGUCAUCUACAUAGACAAGAACAUAGAGGACCAUAUCUCUUGUCUGCUUGAUGAAAAGUGUAACACCUCUAACCCGUACCCGUCGCCGGAGGGUUAAAGAGUAUUACCAAACAAGCACGAAAUUUCAUUUAACUAUAUUUGAAUAACUCCCGAUGUCACACUUAUAAAACCGAAUUCCAAAUUGUUUUUUUUUUCAAUUAUACAAUAUACAAAAGAGUCAUAUCAAGAUAAUGGGCAUAUUGAUUCAUUCUUAAGUUCAAUUCACAUCAAAACAUUGAAAACAUUAAUCAAAUAUCAAACGGACAUUCACAUUAACUAUAUGGAAUACUAGUAACUUAACAAGCCAUUUUUGCAUGGCUAUACAUAUAUACAUCAUCAAAAAGAUACUUAUUUAACAACAAAAAGACAAGCCUAUACAUGCCAUUAUCGAAGUUUAACUACUAGAGUACCGAAUGGGCUUAGAUAGUGUGGACGAC
RNAcentral lists this long non-coding RNA (62978 nucleotides) under Gossypium barbadense (sea-island cotton). RNAcentral's name for it is "long non-coding RNA (GBAR_LNC004063)". Lineage: Eukaryota; Viridiplantae; Streptophyta; Magnoliopsida; Malvales; Malvaceae. The record is from RNAcentral.